Molecule: long non-coding RNA, 82269 nt
Filed under: Vitis vinifera (wine grape)
Lineage: Eukaryota; Viridiplantae; Streptophyta; Magnoliopsida; Vitales; Vitaceae
Source: RNAcentral
AUUUGCAUUGCCAUUCUUGGGGUUGGCCCUUACUGCGAUGUCCUUAGGCUUCAUGGCAGGUGUUUACCUGGUGGUCAGUAAUCUUCAUUGGCUUGCAAUUGUUGUCGUCAUUAUUGGAAUCAUCUUCCUUGUCGGUCUCCUAGUACCCUUUUUUUUACUUUUCCUCCCAAGUAAGUCUACUAAUCGUAUCCUUAGGCACAUCUCCUAUUAUCCGUUUCUUAUAUUGGUAUGGGCAUCUAAAAGCCCCGAAAUGAAACGGGAAGAUUAGCUCGCCCUGUUGAUGAUGUCUGCUAGCUCCAUCUUCCCCUAUGUUUGUUGCUUCUUUCAGCAUUAUCUUAAUGAGAAAGUAUGUUAUGUAUAAAUGCUUAGUGUGAUCAGAACUUCAAUAUAUUGACGGUGUUGUACAUGACCAUUUCUUAUAUAAAUCUAUGGUUUUUGGAUCUAUAAUUAGGUAGUUCUAUAUAUAUUUCAAUAAAUACUCCAUUCAUACAUAAAUAACGUGAAUUCGUUAUUAAUAGGUUCAGUUUAAUUUAUUGAUUGAAAUUUGAAUUUGCAAUUGCAAUUUUUACACUUUUUUAAUUAUUAUUAUGAGAAUUUUGAUUUUCAAAUCCAGGUUACAUCUUCUACAUUACAAUUCAUUGGGAAGGGGAAUAGGUUUUAAUUUUGGAAAAAAAAAAUUUAUUGCCUUUUGAGUUCCAAAGAAUUUUUCAAAAUUAAGGAGUUUAAUCAUUUUUAAAAAAUAAUUUGAAAAUAAAAUAUUGAGGGAGUUAACACUAGAACCAAGAAUUGGUUGAAAAGGACUAUAUUAAUCUCUAGUUUAUGCACAAUUAUAUUUUUCAUUAUAUUUUAUUAUAUUAUUAAUAUUCAUAUUUUAUUAAAAUUUAUUUAUUUUGAAUUUAUUUAUAAUUAAAAAAUUAUUUUUAUUUUUAAUAAGACACAAAUUAAAUUUAACUUAUAUUAUAUAAAUUAAAUUUAUAAUUUUGUGAUUUUUACAAAAUAAAAAUAAAAUUUAUUUUUAGAAACAACUAAUUUAAUUCUUAUAAUCAUUUAAGUUAUCUAAAUAUAAAAAUAAAUGAGAAAAUAAUGGAGAUCUUCAUUUCCAUUCCUGUUUUACCGCGUGGCAAACAGCCCCUCAUCUUAAUUAAUAACAUAACAUGAUUUAUAUAUUUGAUGGACGGUAAAAUCAACCCUUUGUUUGGUAACUCAUAUUGUAGUAAACCCUAAGUUGAGUUUGAUGAUAGUCGGACGUAUUGACGACGGAUUUGACGGACAUAACGUUCAAACCCGCUCAAAGACUCAAUCAAACCCACAGAACUUCACAACUGAUUAAAAUAAUUUUAUAAACCAAAAUGAUCAAACUUUGUAGUUUCUGGGAUUCGUGUUGAUGCUUCCAAAUAGGUUCCAAGAUGUUCCCAGUGAGUUUGGAAAAGAGAGAAGUGGAUUCCUUGAGCUUCUCAAACAUUUUCUUAGAAAAUGUCAAACGCUUGGUCUCAAAAUCUAACCUGUAUGAUUCAAACACACCCAUGAGUUUGAGUUGCCGUGCUUCAUAUCCAUUCCGUGUCUGCUGGAAGUCCUAUGUGAUGUAAGUUGGACUAUCAAAUGAAUUGCUUUUGAGUAUCAAAUUUUUUAUUCAACUUAUCAUAUGUAUGUAAUGCAUAGGUUCUUCUCUCACAUAUUGACUUGGCCCUUACUUCCAUCCCAAGCAAGAGAGUGCAGGUAUCUCAUGGCCGGCAGUGGACUAAUGAUAUAUGAACUCAUUUUAAAUUGGGUCUGACUAACUUGGCCACUGGGGUUGUUACCUUGAAAGGACUUGAGUGGGGUUCAUGUUUAAGUCUUUCCUUUUUAAUCUAGGUAUGUACUGUGUGUGCUCUCUUCUUGUUUUAGUUGAAUUCAAAGAAUAGUUGUUUCUUCCUAGUCUGGGUAAGUGGUUGCUUAAGGGUAUCAUAUUAAGAUUUUUAUUAUUUUUAUUUUCUGUUUUUGACUUGGUGCCUUUUCAAGAUUUUGAAUUGUCAAAAAAGCUAGUUAUAUUGUAUAAACAAUCAUCAUAGGAUUAGAAUUAGUAUAUAUAAUUUGGUAUUGAUGUGCAUGUUCUCUUCCUCUGUAUGACCUAUCCUUUGCGAUGAAGUAUUGGACUGGUUUCUUUGUUGCCAUUAUUUCUUUUUUCUUUUAAACUUCUUAAACCAACAUAAAUACAAGCACAGCUAACGGAUUUGAUUAGGCAAGUCAACUACAAUAGGAGAUAUUAUGAGACAAAACGAUUUAAUGAUGAAUUUUGAGAGGCUAAGAAAGCAGGGGAGGGGAGAAAGAUGGAAGACAGGGAAACAAAGGCAAAAACAACCCAAGAAGCAAGCCAUCUUGGCAAUCUCUGAGCAUAAGGAUGCCAAAUUGUUGGAGGACUAUGUGACAGCUAGUUCCAUGGAUCCUGAUUUGUACAGAGCUACGAUACAAGGAGACAUUCUUGAAUUCAUAAAAGCCGUGGAACAAGGACCAGACAAUAGACACGCUGGUGUACCUGCUGCAUCUUGUAUCCAAGUGACCCCUCAGAAGAACACAGUUCUUCACCUAGCAACGAUCUUUGGACAUGACGAGAUUGUAAAACUCAUUUGUAAGGACUUGCCCUUUCUUGUCAUGGAAAGAAAUUGCAGAGGUGACACUGCACUUCACAUUGCAGCCAGAGCUGGCAAUUCACUGCUAGUGAAUUUGUUGAUUAAUUCAACAGAGGGGGUUUUGGGUGUGAAGAAUGAGACGGGUAAUACCGCAUUGCAUGAGGCAUUGCAACAUCGUCAUGAAGAGGUGGCCUGGAAUAUAAUUAACAAAGACAGAAAUAUGUCUUGUUCUGUCAAUAAGGAAGGAAAAUCUUUGUUGUAUUUGGCCGCAGAAGCAGGAUAUGCAAAUCUUGUUAGGUUUAUAAUGGAAAAUCCUGCAGGAAACUACAGCAUUGAAGGAAAGCUCGAGAACAAACCAUCUGUGAAAGCUGCCAUUCUUGGGAAGAACAUAGGUAAAUGAAAUUCUCUUCUCUAAUCUCCCUUUUUUUUUCCCUUUAUUGGUAUGCUUGUCUUCCAAUUUCAGACUUCCAAGAGCCUGCACUUGGAUUGGAAAUUUUUAAGUGACUGCACUUUCACACCUCUUAGUUUUUUCCUACAAAAAGCCCUGCAACUACUACAAACCACCCAAUUCUCUGCACCAGUGAAUCAGAAAACUUUACCCAAACUAUAUUGCAUCCAAUUGUCACCAUUAAAAGGUAAUGAUAUCAUGGCACAUAAGAGCAUUCUCAUUUUUCUGGAAGUUGGAAGACCUCAAUUAUUUCUUGCUUAAUUAAAUCAUUUUAUGCUGAUGGUAGUAUGGUACUUGACUUUCAAUGAACAAUGGUUAACUUUUGGUGAGAUGUAUUUUCUGGUGUAUAACCUGAUAUUUUUAGUUUGAAUAUUCUGAGGGAUAAAAAAGAAAUAAUGAUAUUUAAAUAAGUAUUUUUUAUUUAACAAUAUUAAUAAUUUUAUUUAUGAAUUUAUAUUUAUCUUUUAUUUAAUUAGUAAAUAAAAUAUAUAAUAAGAUAAUUAAGAUUAACUUAUUUAUAGUAAUUCUAUUUUAAUUCAUUUAUAAUAUAAUAUAUAUUUAUAAUUUAUCAAUUAUGUCUUCCCUAAACAAAAACUUUGUCCAUUGAUAUAGGUCAGUUCUUAAUUUGUUCGAGAAUCAAGGUUUAUUUUCUAUUCUUGUGGGCUAGUGAAUUGUUUUUUUAAAGUGUUAAGUGUUACAAUAAUCCCACAUCAGAAGUUGGAGAGAAAAAACACCCCCUUACGCAGCGUGCAAAUCGAUCAAGAUCAAGGCAAAAAGAGUAUAGAUGGAAAUGGUGAUCUUAAUCGGUUUUUAAAAAUAAAUAAUUGUUUUUAUAUAAUUAAAAAUUAAUUAGAAUUAAAGAUUAAAAAAUAAGACUAAAGUUUAAAUUUUGUUUGAAUUUUAAAAUUUUGAAAUAUUAAAAAUUUAGAAAUUUAAAAAUAAAAAAAAUGUAAAAUCAGAAAGGAUUGAAAUUAGGAUCUGUAUAUGAUAUAUUUGUGCGUCGGUAUAGAAGAUUGGGAUUUUGGGAUUGGAUUGAAGUAGAAAAUUCAAAAUGAAAUUACAAUAAGAAUACGGUAAAGGGAUAACGUUGGGACACCACUACUGGUGUACACUUCCAAGGCUGGAGGUAAAAGAAGGCCAUGCCAUGUCAUGCCACCUGGAACAAAAUAAGAGGUUCUACAGAUUCUCUUAUCGGAAUCAUUUGAAAUAUAGGAUGGAUGCAUGGAAGAAAAGGAGACUCCUCUAAAACUUGUGUAAACUUGUGUUUGUGUGUAGGUGAGAGGUUGGGACUCUCCGAUCAAUAAGGAACUCGGAGCAGAUUCGAACAAGGAAGAAGGCGGGGAAGGGCAGAUGGCACCACGCAUGACAUUCUCCGCAGAUGUGGACAUGGAUAGAGAUAGAAGUGCUCCUUACAGCUAUAAACACAUUGUCCCUGCAAUCUCCGCAGAUAGAAGUGCUCCUUCCACACGUGGGCAUGGCUAGAGAUAGAAGUGCUCCUUCCACACAUGUGGGCAUGGCUAGAGAUAGAAGUGCUCCUUCCACACAUGUGGGCAUGGCUAGAGAUAGAAGUGCUCCUUCCACACAUGAACUCUACGCCCCUGCUCCGGAGGAGAGGCUAGCAUCCUUUAUACGCUUCGCAUUCUUAGUAUAUAGGGAAAUUGAAGAAAAUGAGAAGAUGCUUCAUCAAGGAAGUGGAAGUGCUCCUCCCACACAAGGAGUCGUCGCUCCCGCCGAUGAAGAUGAAGAUGUGGAGCAGGAUAGAUUAAUGGACAGCCGCACGUACAUGCAGGCGACCCGAGGACGUGUUGAUGAAUUUAUUCAAAUUUUAGAAUCGAUAUCCUCUGAACAGGACCUUCAACACUCAGAAAUUCUCUGCCAAGUUAGGCCCCGGAAAAACACAUGCCUCCACAUAGCAGCAAGCUUUGGACACCAUGAUCUUGCCAAGUACAUCGUGAGAGAGUGUCCAGAUCUUAUCAAAAAUAAAAACUCCAAAGGCGACACGGCACUUCAUAUUGCUGCUAGAAAAAGGAAUUUAUCUUUCGUUAAGAUUGUCAUGGAUUCAUGCCCUUCUGGAAGUGGCGCAUCCCAAGAUGUAGAGAAGGCUGAGCCUUUAUUGUUGGGAAUUGUUAACAAAGAAGGAAAUACAGUGUUGCAUGAGGCACUGAUAAACCGUUGCAAACAAGAAGAGGUGGUGGAGAUCCUUAUUAAGGCAGAUCCCCAAGUGGCUCAUUAUCCGAAUAAGGAGGGAAAGUCGCCAUUGUUUCUAGCUGCAGAAGCACACUACUUCCAUGUCGUCGAGGCUAUAGGAAAACCUAAAGUUGAGAAGCACAUGAGCAUUAACAGAGACCGCGAAGCCAAGUCGGCAGUCCAUGGUGCCAUUCUGGGAAAGAAUAAAGGUAUGACCCGCCCCAUUCUCAAUCUCCAUUUAAUUCUCCUGCUCUUCUUCUUCUUCUUCAAACCUAAAAAACACCAUUUCCAAUAAAAUCUUAAACCUGUAUUUGAUUCUCAUAGUUGAAAAAAAAUUAUUAAGGAAAGUGAUUUUCUAAUAUGCUGUUUUACCAUGGAAAACAUGAAAGAAAGUAAUUAAAAUUAAUAAGAAAUUUAUAUCAUUUAAAAUUAUUUAAUUUUUAUAUAGAAUAGUUAAAUAAGUAAAAUAAAUUUAAAGUAAUAUAUAAAAAUAAUUUAUCGACUUAAAUUUUAUUUUAUUUUUUAAUUUUUCUUCUUUAUUUUCUGUGUUCACAUAUUCCCUCAAACUUUCAGACCAAACAUAACCUAAAUGAUCACUUGAAGUCAAUCCCAAACUAUCCAAACAAUUCUUCUUUCUUAUAGCCCUUUUUGCCUCCCCUCUAUUUAAACCAGCCAAUAUGCACGCAACAAAGCCACAACAGCAAAUUUUCUUUAGUUAAUUUUAAAAUUUUGUGAUUUAGAAAGGAAAAUUAAGAAUUAGGAGCUAGUGGGGUUUUGAAGAAGAAUAAGAAGAUGGCAAACUAGGAUUAGGAUUUUGAAAACAAAGAUGAAGAAUAUUAUUUACAAGAACGGGUUUGGGCCGGGAAGAGUAGUUAUAAACAUUAUUGAUCUCCCAUAAAUUAAUAAAAAUUUUAAUCUUUUAGGAACGGGGAAUAUUGAAGCAAAAGCUGAAAAAAAAAAAAAAAAGCCAAUUUACUUUUUCUAUAAUUAGUUCAACAGAAAAACAUAAAUGUGUUCUCAUUUUAAUUUCUUUUAUAUAUGAUGAAAAAAUGCCAGAGAUGUUGGAAAAAAUACUAGCCCUGAAGAUCGUCCACCAAAGAGAUGAACAUGGAAUGACUCCACUUCAUUAUGCGGCAUCGAUUGGAUAUCUUGAAGGAGUUCAAACGCUGUUAGCUAAAGACCAAUCUAACUUCGAUCGAUAUCAUAGGGACGACGAAGGCUUCUUACCCAUCCAUGUUGCAUCAAUGAGAGGCUAUGUAGACAUCGUCAAAGAGUUGCUCCAGGUCUCCUCUGACUCGAUAGAAUUGCUUAGCAAACACGGUGAGAACAUUCUUCAUGUGGCAGCCAAGUAUGGUAAAGAUAAUGUAGUCGAUUUUCUAAUGAAAAAAAAAGGGCUCGAGAACCUUAUAAAUGAGAAGGACAAAGAAGGAAACACGCCACUGCAUUUGGCUACCACGUAUGCACAUCCUAAGGUCGUAAACUAUUUAACAUGGGAUAAAAGAGUUGAUGUGAAUCUUGUGAAUAAUGAAGGCCAGACUGCUUUCGACAUUGCUGUAUCAGUGGAGCAUCCAACGUCAUUGCACCAGGUAUAUAUGACGAUUUGCAUCUUGUUUUCUGAAUGAAGGGUACUACUAUUGGUUUCACCUUGAACUGCAUGCAUUGUUAAUGCUAUGGCAUUUUCCUUCUUAGAUGCAAGCAUGUGAAUUAUUAAAAGGAUCAAUCAGGACAACAUAGUUUGUAUUUCUUUCCUAGAAGGACCGACUGAUAUUAAUAAAACCUAGUUCAACUAAAAGAAGAUCAAUUUGAUCCCAUGAUAUCCUAAAAGUCAAGAAAAUUAUGGAGCCUAACUCAAUCACCAUCACCCUCGCCCAGAUUAGAGCGGCUCAACCAAGGUUAGGCUAGGUUUCUCCAGCAAGUGCAUAUACUCUUGAUGCCGGCAAAGACUUAUUGGAAUAAUUUUUUGCAUCAUACUAAAAGGUUUUCAGUGUAGAGAACUGCUAUAUCAUGUGCGCUUGUGGUUGCUCUCUUGCUGCUUCACGUUGCUUAAUUUCAUACUUCUUGUGGGUGUUCAUUGAAUUUAUAGGGAAAAGAGAAUGGCUUCCCAACAAAAUAUUUCGAAACCCAACUCGUGGAAUUAUAGUCUACUUAUACUUUCUAUAGUUAUUAUUACGACGCAUACAUUUGAUUUUUUUUCUUUCUCACGAUUACAUUAACAGCAACAUUUUUAUCUCUACCACGCAGAGACUAAUUUGGACAGCACUCAAGUCUACUGGUACACGACCAGCCGGAAAUUCAAAGGUCCCACCAAAACUGCCUAAAUCACCUAAUACGGACCAGUACAAGGACAGAGUAAACACUCUCUUGUUGGUUUCGACCCUUGUUGCCACCGUGACAUUUGCUGCUGGUUUUACCAUGCCAGGAGGCUACAACAGCUCUAAUCCAAGUGCCGGCAUUGUAGGGACCCCUCCCCUUGGGAAACACGUGGCACGCAGCUCAUAGUGACGCAUGGCACGUGUUAUCAGCCGGACCUUCAUCAUCCGGAUUCCCCUGAGGAUAUGCAUGGUGCAGUUAUCCUAUCCGGACCGCCUCAAGGAAAGGCAAACGACGUUUCAGCUUCUCCUAUCCAAGGAAGAGCAAACGACGCUGGCAGAGCGUAGACAUCCGGAUAGUCUCCACAACACAUCCGGAUAAUCAGCAUGAGCCAUCCGGAUAUAAAUCGUCUGGAUGGUCAAUUAAAGUAAAGCGAGUCUUACACGCAAUCACAACAAGCAGCCAUGGCCCACAUCUUGUCACCUGCAGAGUGAGAAGACAAGAGGAAGUGACAGCAAGUCACUUCCCACGAUCAUUCUACAUAACCACUUCCCACGAUCUCUGACAACCGCAUCACCUACCAUGGUCUCUGACAGCCAUUCGUAGGAUGAUAAUGCUCCUACUGGCACCUAUUAUCAUCAUUACAACAUAAAAUAUCUCCUCACCAUUAAUGAAAGGAGCAGUACCCCUGAAGUUGUAUAUAUAUGCCUUCACACGCAGAAGAAGGGGAUCCCCUGGUAACCUUUUGAUACCUAGUGAAAGGCCAACUGAUUUAUAUAUCUCUCUCUCUUAUCAUGGCUAACAAAACCAUCGGAGGGUGUGUCCGGACACCCUGUCCGGAUGCCUUUUGCAGGUACAAACCGCUGAAUCAAGAACCCCUUGUGUGUUGAGAAUCGCGUGUCCAUCCAUCUAGCAGCAACGUGGACCACUGGAUACGCGAGGCGACAACAUUGGCGCCGUCUGUGGGAAGCUUUACUUUUUAUUUUGAUUCAGUCACUAGCAAAGAUGGCCACACCUUCCCAAAGUCGAUCAUCUGGUAGAGGGGAGGAAGAUAAUCUCGAAUGGCGUCAGGCCAUCGAAAAAAGACAGUUGGCGAGCGAAAAACAGCUAAGAGCUCUCCUCCAGGAGACGGAGAGGUUAAGGGAAGAAAACGCUGUGUUACGCGUUCAAGCCUCAACGUCAGGUCCUCCUCGUCGUCAGCAUUCAAGAGGCCAGGUGGCAAACUCAAGGCCAGAGCCAGAAUCAAUAUAUCCUGGGUCAACAGGAGCUGUCCCAGGAGCAUACAACGCAAGGCCCCAUGAGCCACGUACACCUAUGCCUUGAGCUCCCCGUGAGGAAAGCUCAGAUUCCACUCAUUUUUCAGCAAAAAGACAACAUGAUAGAAAAUCACAGUUGUCAAGUUCUAUGCGCGCAAGACUAGGCCCACAAGAGCCUGGGAGAUCAAGGCCACCAGUAGCCACAACCCAGGCGCCACGCCCCGAUCCUAUGAUCGCUCCCAUGGUGCAGAACGUACCUCCGCAUCGUGACCCCAUGGUCACCCCAGCGAUGCGGAACGUUCACUCACACCUAGCGGAACGACCAGCUGGGAGAAACCUCCCAAACGAGCCACCCAUUGGCUCCAUCAGCAAAAGGCUGGAUGACAUGCUCUCCAUGCCCUUUUGCUCUCAUAUCACCCAUUACGAGCCCCCAAGGGGAUUCCUCGUACCAAAGUUUUCCACAUACGAUGGGACCAACGAUCCCUUCGAUCACAUCAUGCACUAUCGACAACUUAUGACGCUCGAUAUUGGCAACGAUGCAUUGCUAUGCAAAGUAUUCCCCGCCAGCCUUCAAGGGCAGGCCCUCUCAUGGUUUCAUCGCCUACCUCCUAACUCUGUUAACAAUUUCACGGACCUCUCUGAAGCUUUCGUGGGACAGUACUUGUGCUCUGCUCGACACAAGCAGAAUAUCAGCACCCUCCAGAACAUAAAAAUGAGAGACAACGAAUCCUUGAGGGAAUUUGUGAAACGAUUUGGCCAAGCCGUACUUCAAAUAGAGGCUUGCAGCAUGGAUGUUGUCCUACAGAUCUUCAAGAGAAGCAUCUGUCCAGGCACUCCAUUUUUCGAAUCACUGGCCAAAAAGCCUCCUACAACGAUGGACGAUUUGUUCAGACGUGCUAACAAAUAUUCAAUGCUCAAAGAUGACGUACGUGCAGCCACUCAGCAAGUUUUGGUUGCCGGACGGGCUUCUAGAAAUGACGCGGACAGAUAUGCCAAACCUCCGGACCGGCCAAAACCAGUUGACCGGAGGCAGGACGGGCCGAGUCGUCCGGAUAGGCCACCCAUCACACCCCUAUCCGUGUCAUACGAAAAACUUCUCCCAAUGAUCCAAGGGUUGUCCGACUUCAGGUGGCCUAGACCCCUCGAAACGGACCCAUCCAUGAGAGACCGCAGCAAGAAAUGCGCCUUCCACAAAGACCAUGGUCAUACAACAGAGACAUGUCGGUCCCUCCAGUACCUAGUUGAAAGGCUCAUCAAAGCAGGACAUUUAAAACAGUACCUCCGCUCAGAAGCUGGAGGAAGGGACGCAUCUCAACAUCAUAACUCUGGGGCCCCGAGGGCCCCAAUCGCCCCCAAGGCUGUCAUAAACUAUAUCAACGGGGGCCCAUCUGACGAGGAAUACGAUUCCAGGAGGAAAAGGCAGAAAUUGCUGCGAGCCGCGUCAGUACGCGAACGCAUUAAUUCCAUCCGACCGGGUCUCACUGGAGAGGGCCCUCGCCCCAUAGAUGGAACAAUCAUUUUCCCACCAGUAGAUCCCACCCGGACGCUACAGCCACAUCGCGAUGCCCUCAUCCUCUCCCUAGAAAUAGGAGAUUUCGAUGUAAGACGUAUCUUGGUCGACCCAGGCAGUUCAGCCGAUCUGGUGCAAGCAUCAGUCGUUGGCCAUAUGGGACAUAGUCUCGCGGGUCUCGAAAACCCCGGACGAAUCUUAUUCGGAUUCAACGGGUCAUCAACCACAUCCUUAGGAGACAUCAUACUGCCGGUCCAAGCUGGCCCAGUCACUCUGACGGAGCCUCACGCUCAUCAGGCUCUGGAGUUGGGCUCAUACUACAGUCCCCAACUGGGGAACAUCUGGAGCAAGCCAUCCGGCUGGGAUUCUCCGCGUCUAACAAUGAAGCAGAAUACGAGGCCAUCCUGUUCGGGUUGGACCUCGCCCUUGCUCUAUCCGUCUCCAAACUCCGAAUCUACAGCGACUCGCAACUAGUGGUAAGGCAUGUCCAGAAAGAAUAUGAGGCUAAGGACGCACGCAUGGCGCGAUACUUGGCCAAAGUAAGAAGCACCUUACAGCAAUUCACCGAGUGGACAAUCGAAAAAAUUAAGCGAGCUGACAACGGGCGCACUGACGCCUUGGCCGGUAUAGCUGCUUCCCUCCCCAUCAGAGAAGCCAUUCUAUUGCCUAUCCAUGUACAAGCCAAUCCCUCUGUCGCAGAAAAUUCCACUUGCAACACCGUUGAGGCAAACCAAGCGAAUGAUCAAGAAUGGACGCAUGAUAUUGCAGAAUAUCUCCGGACAGGCACUUUACCCGAAGAUCCUAAACAAGCGCACAAAAUCCCGGUGCAAGCUGCCCGUUUCACCCUGAUUGGGGGGCACCUGUACAAGCGAUCCUUCACAGGGCCUUAUCUUCGCUGUCUUGGGCAUUCAGAGGCCCAGUAUGUGCUAGCUGAAUUACAUGAGGGAAUAUGCGGAAAUCAUAUGGGAGGACGAUCCCUGGCACAUAGAGCUCAUUCACAAGGAUACUAUUGGCCAACAAUGAAGAAAGACGCGGCAGCAUAUGUCCAAAAAUGUGAUAAAUGUCAAAAAUACGCUCCCAUUCCACAUAUGCCAUCGGCAGUAUUGAAAUCAGUCUCAGGCCCAUGGCCUUUCGCGCAGUGGGGCAUGGACAUAGUGGGACCCCUCCCAGCAGCACCUGCCCAGAAGAAAUUCCUCCUUGUCGCCACUGAUUACUUCAGUAAAUGGGUAGAAGCUGAAGCAUAUGCAAGCAUCAAAGAUAAAGAUGUCACCAAAUUCGUAUGGAAGAACAUUGUUUGCCGCUUUGGAAUUCCCCAAACCAUCAUAGCUGACAAUGGUCCACAAUUUGACAGCAUUGCAUUCAGGAAUUUCUGUUCGGAACUGAAUAUUCGGAAUUCAUACUCCACGCCGCGUUAUCCUCAAAGCAAUGGGCAGGCGGAAGCCACAAACAAAACUCUAAUCAAUGCCUUAAAGAAAAGGCUUGAGCAAGCCAAAGGGAAGUGGGUGGAGGAGCUACCCGGCGUCCUGUGGGCCUAUCGAACCACACCCGGACGACCGACAGGAAACACUCCUUUCGCCCUCACAUAUGGAAUGGAUGCAGUCAUUCCCAUUGAAAUAGGUCUUCCUACUAUCCGGACCGAUGCAGCAAAACAAGAAGAUGCCAACACGGAACUAGGAAGAAAUUUGGACUGGGCAAACGAAGUCAAAGAAAGCGCGGCCAUCCGGAUGGCAGAUUAUCAACAAAGGGCAUCAGCGCAUUACAAUCGAAAAGUCAGGCCCAGAAACUUCAAAAAUGGUACGCUAGUACUUAGAAAAGUUUUUGAAAAUACUGCUGAAAUAGGCGCAGGAAAGUUCCAAGCCAAUUGGGAAGGACCCUACAUAGUGUCUAAGGCAAACGAAAAUGGAGCCUAUCAUUUACAAAAGCUAGAUGGCACUCCGUUACUCAGACCAUGGAAUGUGUCCAAUUUAAAGCAGUACUAUCAAUAAAAAGUAUACACAAGUGCAAAUGAGAAAGAAGUAUGUUUUUAUUGAUAUGAAUAAAUGUAAUUACAAAGAGACCUCCGGACCACAAAAAUACAGAAAGAAAAAUUACAGCAGAAAAAUUGCAAAAAGAGAUAAACUAUCAGGGAGCGGGCUUCUCAUGGAGCUUUUUUUCUUCACCUGGAGGAAUUGAAGGGGUAUCUCGCUUGAUGCCGUUCUUCUUCAUGCAGCAGCGAUACCCAAAGAUAAACGUAUCAUCCACUUGUUGCUGGUAAUCCGCUGCAAGUUCCUCCCUUUCCACAGCAAACUCCCGUUCGAGUUCUUCUUUUUGCACAUCCAGGCGCAGCUGCAAGUCUUCCUUCUGUUUCUUUUCAUUCGAAACUUCUGUCCGGAGUUGAUUCACUUCAUCCCUCAGCCGGGCUGCCUCACCUUCCGCCUCAUGUAGGCGGCCCAUAGUCGAUUCUUCUCGACUCUUCGCCUCAGCCAACUCCACUCGGAGGGCUUCAUUUUCCUCUCGCAUGGUGGAUAGACUGGCCUCAGCCUCCUCCAUUCUCAGACGCAGCUGAUUUUCAAUCUCUCGGCGUCGAGAGGAGAAGGUCUUCAUAUAGUCUGCAGUCUGCAGCAGCUGAGUAAAAAGAUCGUGUUGUUGAGCCAUGCCGCGGAGGCCCCUCACCAGCUGACACACAAACAAGAAAAGCAAAGACAUAAAUCGUACUACAACAAACACAUCAGUGCAACAAAGAGUCAAAAAGCAAAAGCACAAGACAACGGUAUACCGUUUCUAUCAUAUCAAACAUCUUAGCAGAGGGCUUGAUGGCUUUCCAGUCGGGUGUAAUCUGUUUUAGCUUAACUUCCAACUCCGCGUAGCUGAAAGGGCUAGCAGGAGCUGCAUCGUCAGCAGGUUCCUCCUCAGAUGAGGAAACAGAAGGUGACUCUUGUCCCGGAUUCGGGACCUCCACAUCUUCGUCCGGACGCAUCUGUCCGGAUACAUCUUCAGCCGGAAUUAUUACCGGGGCGGCCGAAGUCUCAGUUGCCAUCUCCACCUCGCCUCCAUCCGGAUGAGCGUCAUGGGCAGAAGCGCAGCUAACUUCAAUCUCUUGCUGCCGCUCUUGAAGCCGCCAAGGAGUCCGGACCGUAGAUCGCGCGUCGAACGCGGCUUCUUUGAAGGAGGCCCUUUCACCGGGAUUAUGGCUAAGCGAUCCGGGUCGUCGGAAGGCUGACUUUGGCUUUCUGCCCCCGCUUCCUCCAACGGGGUCGUUUCAGCUGCAUCAGCAUCCGGAUUAAGGUUGCCCGGACGGUUGAUAGACGCAGCUUCCUCAGCCACGUUAGCCAGACGCGCAACCGCGGCCAAGGAAGUGCCCGAAUGGUUCAACCCCGAGAUGCGUCCGGGGCCGCUUGAGAUAGAGUGCGGAGCAGCGUUUACUGGCUCCUCUAUCAUUACUUCCCCCUCAUAGGUAAUUUGCGGAGGAGGAAACUCCCUGGGAGGAGUGGGUUCCUUCACAUCCUUCCCAUUCUUCUUCACCAGCUUCCUCCUUUUUGCUGGAGUUUUCUUUGGAGGAGAGUCCGAACCCCGCUUCUGUCCGGGAGCCUUCCGGAUAGUGCCUUCAUUUUUUUUCUGAUCUCGAUCCUCCAGGAGCUUUCGCCGUCUUUCACCAUCAGCCUCUUUAGCUUCCUGAUACAGGGGGAGCUCCUUCAGAGUAUAAUGCUCCCCAGGUACUAUCUCAUCCUUUGCUAGUUUCCUGGGGAGAAUAUUGAUAACAUAUUCCUGGGACUCCCGGACGACCGCCAUCAAAUUCCACGCGGAAAGCAAUGUCUUGUAGGCCCUCUCCUUGGGAUUUAUCUCGAAUAAUUUGCAGACACAGGCGAAGGACGCAUUUUCCACCCAAUCCACAAGGUGGCCCCUCAAUUCCAGACCUGCAUUGACAGCAACAAAAUGUGAGAAUUCCGUCCAAAAAAAAAAAAAAAAAAAAUCAGCAAAGUAAAAUCCGGACAAAGAAUCGCAAAACAAGAAUACCCGGAAUUUUUAAGGUAUAAUUUGGAGAAAAGGGCCUCGACGCACGCUCCAAUAGCCCCGCCCAUCCACCCCGGACCGCCACCAGCCCCUUCGCCCCUCCAUUUGUCGAAUCUGGCAGCUCUGUCACCACUUGAAGGGAGGGCAGGUGCGCGGACACAUUGAAAAUAUCAUUUUUUGCUUUCUUCAGGGAAUAGACAAAGAACACUUCCAGUAGCGUAAGGUCGAGGCUGUACAGCAUGUUGAUGAUGCUGCAUCCCAUCAGCACCCGGACAAGGUUGGGAUGAAUGAAGAUGGGUGGAACCUGAGAGAAGUGGAGGAAUUCCUUGAACAACGCCGGCAGAGGGAACCGGAGCCCCGCGUUGAAUUGUUCAUUUGUGAAGAGGAUAACGUUUUCUUCACCUUUCUCAGUAGGCAUAGCCGCCUCCUCGUUCACCAAGUCUAUAGAUACGUCAUUUGGAAUGCAGAACCGCUCCCGGAACUCCUUCACAUUUAAUUUGUCUAUCGCCUUUUCGCCAGCCUCGCUAACCCGGGCAGAUGAAACAGUCUUUUUUGGAGCCAUUUCUUACCACAAAGCCAAACCAAAAUCUACAUACAAAAGCAAUGCAACUGUUCAAACCAAGCAGUCAGAAAAUACACAAACCCUAACCCAAAGCAGUCAGAAAAACCCCUCAAAAACCCCCCCCCGAACACCAACAAAGUACCAACAUUCAACAACAAUUGCAAGCGACUUGCCCAAAACAAUGCCCAAGCAAGCCAGAAACCAAGUUUAAAGAACCAGCAAACGCAACCAAAGGAAUGACAGUAGCAAAGAGGUACGUACCAAAUAAAGCUCUGAAGAAGAAGAACGGUUACUGUCUCGGUACAAAAUCACCAGCAGCAAACAAACGAAGUCGCGAUACAAAAACACCGGUACAAAAGAGCUUUCGAAGUUUUUUCUCAGAGAAGCAAAGGGCGCAGGAAAAAGCAAGAAGAAGAAAGGCUCUCAAGAGAAUGCAGUAGAAAAAAAUGCAAAAAGAGGUACAGUGCCCUAUUUAUAGCAGGACAGCCAUGUUAUCAUUGAAACGACAUAUUGCCUGGGGAUACACAGGGUCGGCGGCUUGUCAUAAAUGCCUUUUUGGCUUCCGCACCCCCACUCGCCACGUGGCCCAGUCAGACGAAGGGACCUCUUCAAUUUUCAAAAGCCAGUUAUUUUUAACCCGCCCAUUUUUUCGGGCAAAAUAGGAAGUUAAAAAGGGGGGCAAUGUAGGGACCCCUCCCCUUGGGAAACACGUGGCACGCAGCUCAUAGUGACGCAUGGCAUGUGUUAUCAGCCGGACCUUCAUCAUCCGGAUUCCCCUGAGGAUAUGCAUGGUGCAGUUAUCCUAUCCGGACCGCCUCAAGGAAAGGCAAACGACAUUUCAGCUUCUCCUAUCCAAGGAAGAGCAAACGACGCUGGCAGAGCGUAGACAUCCGGAUAGUCUCCACAACACAUCCGGAUAAUCAGCAUGAGCCAUCCGGAUAUAAAUCGUCUGGAUGGUCAAUUAAAGUAAAGCGAGUCUUACACGCAAUCACAACAAGCAGCCAUGACCCACAUCUUGUCACCUGCAGAGUGAGAAGACAAGAGGAAGUGACAGCAAGUCACUUCCCACGAUCAUUCUACAUAACCAUUUCCCACGAUCUCUGACAGCCGCAUCACCUACCAUGGUCUCUGACAGCCAUUCGUAAGAUGAUAAUGCUCCUACUGGCACCUAUUAUCAUCAUUACAACAUAAAAUAUCUCCUCACCAUUAAUGAAAGGAGCAGUACCCCUGAAGUUGUAUAUAUAUGCCUUCACACGCAGAAGAAGGGGAUCCCCUGGUAACCUUUUGAUACCUAGUGAAAGGCCAACUGAUUUAUAUCUCUCUCUCUCUUAUCAUGGCUAACAAAACCAUCGGAGGGUGUGUCCGGACACCCUGUCCGGAUGCCUUUUGCAGGUACAAACCGCUGAAUCAAGAACCCCUUGUGUGUUGAGAAUCGCGUGUCCAUCCAUCUAGCAGCAACGUGGACCACCGGAUACGCGAGGCGACAACAGGCAUGGCUAUCUUUCUGAUGAGAAAUAUGUUCCAUAUGUUCGUCAUCUGCAAUACCAUUGCUAUGUAUACCUCCAUCCUCGCGGCAAUCAUCUUCAUCUGGGCACAGUUAGGUGAUCUCAAUUUGAUGGAUACUGCCUUCAGAUUUGCAUUGCCAUUAUUGGGGCUGGCCCUUUAUGCAAUGUCCUUCGGCUUCAUGGCAGGUGUUUCCUUGGUGGUCAGUAAUCUUCAUUGGCUUGCAAUUGUUGUCUUCAUUAUUGGAAUCAUCUGCCUUUUCAGUCUCUCAGUACCCUUUCUUUUACUCUUCCUCCCAAGUAAGUCUACUAAUCGUAUCCUUAGGUACAUCUCCUAUUAUCCGUUCCUUAUACUGGUAUGGGCAUCUGAAAGCCCCGAAAUCAAACAGGAAGAUUAGCUUGCCCUGUUGAUGAUGUAUGCUAGCUCCAUCUUCUCCUAUGUUUGUUGCUUCUUUCAGCAUUAUCUCAAUGACUUGGUAGACAAAGCAUGUUAUGAAUAAAUGCUUAGUGUGAUCAGAACUUCAAUAUAUUGGUGGUGUUGUACAUGAUCAUUUGUCAUAUAAAUCUGUAGUUUCUGGAGCUGUAAUAUGUGAAAUACUCUAUAUAUAUUUCAAUAAAUACUCCAUUCAUCCAUACUGAUCAAUGCAUAUUUGUCUUUGCUUUAAAAUUUUUUAGAAAAGAAAAAAAGAAAAAAAAAUCUUGGAAAUCCCAAAAUGAUUAAUUUGAGAAAUAUCAUUAUUUAACAAAUAAAAAAACACAUGAAUAUAUAAACCCCACUAUGUCAUUUUCUUUGAAGUACCCUGUUGCGGAUUUGAUGAGAAAAAGGUAGUAAUCAAAUGGCAUAGCAUAAAAUUUAAAUUAGAGUUUUCUCAUCAAAAUGUGCAGAAUUAAAACCUUUACUAAAACAAUUGAUUUUUAGGAACCAAAUUUUGGUGAAAAAAAAAAAUCAUAAUUCAUCUAUAAAACUAAUUAUUGACAAUAAACUUUUACAUUUCCUACAAACUAUUUAAUGAUGAUACCUUAGUGAUUAACUUCUAAACUCAUUUAUAAAAUGUAACAUUAGACUUUGUUUGAUUUUGAAGAGUUUGAAAGGAAAUGCAAAAGAAAGAAAGAAAAGAGGAGAAAAAUAAAAGGAAAGAAAAAAUAAAUUUAAAGUGAAUAAAUUAUUUUGAUAUAUUAUUUUAAAUUUUUUCAUUUAUUUAACUUUUUAUAUAAAAAUAAAAUAAUUUAAAAUCUCAAGAUUACUAAAAAAUAUCUUGGGAUAGCAAAAAGUUUAUGAUCUUUUUCCUACGUGGAACAAGUGAUAAUUGAGCACCACCUAUUCAAUCCCUCUAAUUAGUUAUGAUUAUCUUAUUUAAUUAAUGAUUUAUGUAUUUCAUAGAUAAGUUGACAAUUUUAUUCUAUACAUUUUAAACUAAACCUCUAUAUACUUUCUUGUAACUAAUUGGAGUCUACGGAUGGUAAUGGGGUGGAUUUUUUUGAGUACUUGCCCGUCCCAUCCUUAAUGGAAUGGAUUUGAAUUUUAACUAAAUGGGUUUAGGAUGGGUUUGGAAAUUUUUUUAAAACUUGGGGUGAAUUUGGGUGUUGUCUUGUCUCAUCCCACCAUAUUAUAUAUAAAAUUAAUUUUUAAAAUUAAAUUAAAUUAAUUUUUAUUUUACUAUUUUUACUAUGUAGAUAAUAAUGAAAUAUUUUUUUUUAAUAAAAUAAGUUAUAAAAAAUAUAAUAAUUUAAUUAUUUAUAAAAUAUAUUUAUUUUAAUAUAAUUAAAAAAAUUUAAAUUAAAAAAAAAAAGUUAAACUGGGUGGGAUGGGGUGGGGCGAGUAUGAAAAUUUCUCAUACCCAUCCCUCCCUGUUUAAUUUUUUAAAUGGGGCAAAGAUGAAAAUUAAUUUUAAUAAAUGGGACGAGGUUGGAAUGGGGGUGACCCGUCCCAUUGCCAUCCUUGCUAGAGUCUAGAAUCGUAAAAACUCAAGAUUACUCACAAUUCGUCUAGGAAUAGCCAAAGUUAAUUAUCUUGUUUCUACGUAGAGCAAGUGAUGAUUGAGGACCAUAUAUCUAGUCUGUCUAAUUAGUUAUGUGAUGCAAGGUUAAAAACCUUAUCUUAUUUCAUAACAUGAUUAUAUUUUAUAGAUCAUAAAAUCAAAUCUUUGUUUGGUAACUCAUAUUUAGUAAACCUUAAGAACCUAAAUUCCCCACGUGUUUGACAUAGAUUCGAAAUUUUGAACCCAAUUUUAAGUUGAGUUUGAUGAUAGUCGGACGUAUUGAUGACAGAUUUGACGGUCAUUACGUUCAAACCCGCUUUAAAAGACUCAAACCCACGUAACUUUGAAUUGGUUAAAAUAAUUUUAUAAAGUGAAACGAUUAAACUUCUUACUUUUUGGGAUUGGUGUUUGUACUUCCAAAUGAUGUUCCUAGUGAGUUUGGGGAAGAGAGUGAUAGGAUUUCAGAAUAAUUAUAAGCCUAAUUCUUGCAAAACAAUCAUCACAUUGGUCUUAAAACUUUGUGAUUUUCACAAAGUAAAUAAAUAAUCAAGAAAACAAUCAUUAAAUUCUAACUUUUAAACCAUGUCUAGAAAAAUAAAGUUUAAACCAAAAAUCCUAAAAAUAUCAAAAUCUCAUCCUAAUUAUCAUUCAUCACCUGAUCAGAUGGUACUUAAAAAAUUGUUAAUGAAGGGAAAUGAACUUAAAACCUAAUAAGAAAUAUUAAUACAAUUUCACAAAUAAAAUAUUUUUAAUAAAGAUUAUAAAAAGAAGAUAUGAUGUAUAAUCAUUUUCAUAAAAACUUUUUAGUUCAAACAUUCUAAUACAUUCAAACUUUUCAACAAAACAUUUUUAUAUUCAUGUCAAACAAUUUUAUAUUAAAUUCAAAUAAAUUGUAUUUAAAAUAUUUUACUCUGAUUAUCAAAUAUCAAAUGGUACUCAAUUAUGUGAGACUUUACAAAUGGGCGGCUACUCUCAAAUUUGUUCCUUUUAAGACAAAACUAAACACUACUAAUACUAGUAAUCUCUAACCAAACCUUUAGAUGUUGGGGUUCAAAUCAAUUGCAUUCUUCAUCAUAAAAUGUAAAUGUUAACUAUUAUAUCGUGUUAAUAUGGACUAAAAAGUCAAUUAUUAUAUCCAAUUGAUAAAGACCAAAAAGUCGAUUAUUAUAUUCCGCUACCUAUGACCAAACAAACCAAAGUCAAACACUUUGUUUUAUUUAUUCAAACUUAUAAAAACAUAAUAUUUUCACAUAUUUAUGUUAUAAACAAAAGAAAAGGUUUUAAUAUAUUUUUCAUGAAAAAUAUAUUUGCUUUAUGCAUAAAAACAAAAAUAACAUUUUACACAUUUAAUUUCAAAAUAACAUGUCAAAAGAAAAUCAUUUUUUUUUAUAAAAUCCUCAUUAAUUUCCCUUACCUCGAAAAACAUUCAUAAUCCUUGAAGAAUUUAAUUCUAUAUAAACAACUUUUCAUCUAAUAACAUAAGAAAAACAAUUAUUACUAUUAAUUAUUUGUCUAAAAUUAUAAGUUUAAUAAUCCUAAAAUUUUAUAUAUUAAUAUUAAUAUUAAUAAGUAUCAAUGAUAAUUUAAUUAAUUUAUUCCUUAUUAAAGUAAAAUUAAUAAAUUGCUAAUUUAUAUAAAACUUUUUUCUUAAAUUUGAUUCUAAAAAACAAAAAUACAUUACUAAUUUAAUUAAACUACAAUUUUUAUUUCAUUAAUUAAAUUUUAUUUAUUUAUUAACUUAACAUCUAUCCUCAUUAGCAUUAUUAUACCAUCAACUAACCCAACUCUCAACACCUACUUAAUAUUAUAUAUAAAGGUAGGACUCGCUUGCUUAUCUUUUUCUUAUUUUAUUUCUUUUCUUUCUUGCACAAACCACACUCAUGGCUACAUUCCAUUUUUUUUUUUUUUUAAUACACGCUUACAAAAAUCACACUGUACACACUCGCCAAGGAACCAACACUAUAAGAAAAAAGGGCAAUAAUGACGCUUUUUAGGCGUCAAUAAAUGUAUAAGAUGACGCUUCUUGAAAGCGUCCUUGUCGCCCCUGUCAAGGAAUGGGUGUAAGCAACCUUGUCGCUUCUAAUUCAAGGAAUGGGUGUAAGUAACAUUUCAAGGUGAAAUCAACCAUUUUGGUUAGAAUAUUUGCUUCUAAUUCAAACCCCAAGCUUUGAUUCCCUUAACAAUAAUAGAUGAGUGAAUACAUAUUUCUUAGAAGCUUUAAUCAUAACAGUCAGUCAGGAUAGAAUAGCAAAGACUAUGUGACCAUAUUUAUUUCUGGUUAUACUUCCACUACCAAAUUGUCGUGUGUUCCCAAUGGUUCAGCAAUCAAAGAAAGCAUCAAAUGCCCGAUAUGGGCAAACAUCAAAAUCUUAGGGACAGUGGGAUUAAGAGUUUAAGGUAGUGAAUGGUUUUUUUUUUUUUUUUUUUUUUAACCACUAUAACUUUAGAUACAGUAUGGCUCUAUACAGGAGCAGGUGGUAGACUGGUGGUGUAAGUAUAUCUAGGUUAAUCUUUGUUAAGUUUGGAUUUCAGAUCAUUUGCAGCUUGUGAUGGUUCUAAUUUUAUCUUUUUCAUUUUGUAUAAGAGAUAAGAAAUCCCAACUACGUGUGUGUACUUAACUCUUAUGCCAUUUAUUUAUCUUCAUGAUGUAUACUUAGUUCUUAUGCCAUUUAUUUAUUUAUAUUUUGAUUGGCAUAUCCCUUUUCCAUUUAUAGGAAUCUUUAAGAUAACCUCUUACUUAGGAGAAACUUUUUGUAUUUGAUUGAUUUAUACAUUGAUUUGUUCUUGCAACUUGUUAAACUGCCUCGAGUUCCAAUUGUUGACAAAAUAUUGAAGAAGUAUCUUGAUUACAGAAUAAAGAGGGAUGGCAUGUAAGUAUAUUUGCCAUGGCUCCUGACAUUUUGAACUCCCUUCCAACUUCUAAAGGUGAUCAAACAAAGUUGCAAUGAUACUGCCUGAGGUUUGAUGGCAGUUAUUUUUAUUGUUUGGUUUGGUGUGUUAUUGAUGUAGUAAUAUCAGGAUAAUUUGUGUCGGAAUGUUUACUAUAGUAAGAGGUAGUUCUUGUAAUUUUCACACUAAUAUGGUUUGAAUAGACAAGCAUGCUUACCUGUUCAGUGAUCAGUCUCAACUAUGUACUUAUUGCAUAAAUGAUUGUUAUGGCAAUACAAGCAGUCUCUCUAUAUAGAUGAGUAGUUCACAUGUGAAAUUUUUGAAAGCCAGUAUCUUAAGAUAUGUAGUUAUCAAAGACAAGUUCAAGAAUAUUGUAACUUCUGAAUCCAAAAAAAAAAAAAAAAAAACCACACACAAUCUUGACAAGAACAAAAAUAGUCAAUGAGAUGGGAAACAAGACAUCUAUUCAAAACCAGUAAUAGACUUACAUUCUCAAGUCCCAAUGAGCCACAUAUAUAAGCAACACCCCAUACAAAUAAAACAAUUGCUUCCUUUUCCACCAAAAGUGCACUGUGUGCCUGACAGAACCAACAACAACAAAGUCAAAUAAGCUGCAAUGUGGAAUACAUAAAAUAAAAUACCACAAUUAAAAUUGCAAAAAAUGAAGUUAACUAAAAUCAACAUAUAAAUAAUAAAAUAAAAAAUAAAUAAAGGAUGUUAAUUUACUUAAUCCUUUAAAACUUUGAUAAUCAGAUGAGUAACAGAGCAGAGGCAGUGUUUGUGACAAAAAAAAAACUGCUAAAUCACAUCCCCUGUAUGCUGUUAUGAUGUGUUUGAAUUUUGGGUUCUCAUCAUCUUGUUCCUUCUCAAUCAUGUACUUUUGUUUCUUCUUUGUAAACUCAGACUGGUUGGAUAUAUACUAGGAUCUCCGCACAUUUUUUACAACAUUCAAGUGAAUUUUGGUUAAUUUUAUGUGAUAAUUAAACUCAUUUAUGUUUUUUUUUAGAUUUAUUUUUUUAUUUUUCUUUUGUUUGUAUGAAACACUUGGAAAUGUUUGAAAAAAAAAUUCUAAAGUUUGUGGGCCUACUUUUCAAGAGUAGUUAAAUAGAUAUGACAUAUCAAAAUAUCUGGAAGAAAUUAAAAAACUCAUCAUUUUAUUUGACAAAAUAUAAGUAAUGAAGAAAAUUAGAAUGAUAAAUGAUUCAAACCAUGAAUGGAUUUUUGAAGGAAAAAGCGUUCAAUAGACACAAUGAUAUAUUUUAGGUAUUUUUAUAUAUCUAUAUAUCUAUAUAUAUAUUAAUCAAAAUUGAUUGAGAAACUUUUGUGGUCUUGAUUAACACUUGUGUAAAACCAAAAAAAAAAAAAAAAAAAUUCAUCUCUGUAAAUAAGGGAUUCACUCACAAAAAGACCACUUUUCCAUGGACCUAAACAAAAUCACAACAAAAUUAGUUUAAUGAUUUGAUGUAUAUAAUAAUAACAACAAGAUCACUUUCAUUUCACACAUGCUAGUAACUUGAAAAUUAAUCAAUUCACUUAAGACCCAUGUGUAGGAAAUCAAAAUAAUAUAAAUUAUACCUAGAUAGAGCACUAAAAAAAUUGAUUUUUUUUAAUAUUUGUAUUUUUUUUUCAUUGGUUUCUCAUUUGUGCUUGCUUUUCUAAUUUUUAUUUUUUACAUUCUGUGGUGGAUGUAAGGAAAUACGCAAAACUGACAAAUUAACCAGAUAAUGAUGGCUGUAUAAAUGUUAUUUAAUUUUCUUGUGUAAGAGGAUUAUUCAGAACAAUAAGAAUAUGGGUGGUGGGUAGUGGGAUGUGGGAGGACAACUAAUCUCUUUGCGUUUAUGUGAAAACAAUAUGUUAAAAGCACAUGCAACCUUAGUUUGUUCUAGUCCAAAACACCCUUGUUCAUUCGUUUUUCCUCUUUUGUUUUUAUUUUUGUUUGCCUCUUCCCCGUGUAGUUGUUUAAUCUACUAAAAACAUUGAGUUUUAACACACAUAGUCAAUAAGAAACACAAUCAUCCCAAAAAUCAUAAGAACACAAAAAAGCCCUAAAAUAAAAUAUGAAAACAGAACACAUUGAGAGAAGAGGACUUACCACUCAUAGAUAUGGGAAUGCAACGGUAUACAUCAAUGACACUGGUUCAUAGUGGAAAUUUUCCAGUGGUGACCACUUGUGAAAUUAUUGAAGUCAGGUAAGGCUACUCCAAAGGGUUAGGGCAUUUCAGUGGUGGGAUUUGUAAAUGAGGAAUGGGUUAUGGCUUCUUAGUGCUGGAUUUCACCCUUGCAAAAAGGGUUUCAUAGUACGGAAAGGGUUUCUCCCAACUUGCGACAUCGACAAUUGACAUGUAGGGACUAGAUUCUCUAGAACGAUAUGCUAUGAGUCUUUGGAAGCUUCUUGUUCAAUCGUCAUUGUUCCUUUAGGUAUGAGAUUCAAGCUUCAUUUUUCGGGUUUUUCGAGAUAUGAAAUAGAGGGAAUGUUUGGCGGUAACAUAUUGCAGAGAGAAAAAAUUCCAAAGAUAGCCAUAUAUUUAUAGGUAAAAUUCAAUGGCACUUAUAAAAGUGCCGAGGAAAAAUAAUACUAGUUAACAAAACGAUGAUACUUCCAAUAAGCGUCAUUGCAUACAAAGUAAAAGAGAAAAUAGUAUAUCAAACAAUGAUGCUUCCAAUAAGUGUCAUUGUGUACCAUGCUACAGGGAUAAUAGUAUGUCAAACAAUGACACUUUUAAUAAGUGCCAUAAAAUAAAGCAUAUUAUAUCAAAUAAUGACGUUUUUUUAAAGUAUCAAGAAAUAAAACGUCAUUAUUUUAAAAUUUUGUAGUAGUGUGCAAAAGCUAAUUUUUUUUAAACACCCAAAUUCUUUUCUUUUUUUUCUUUUAUGUUGUCACAUAGGUACCCAUCCCGAAUCCAUAAAUCCUUUUUUUCUUUUUCUCAAUACCCUAAGUGAGUGUAUAUAUAUAUAUAUAUAUAUAUAUAUAUAAGAUAUAUUAUUUAUUUAUUAUUGUUUUAGAUUUACUAAAAAAAUAUUGAGAAUUUCCAAUCUCUAUCAAUAAAUCAACAUUUAUUCAUAAAUUUUCACUAUUUUUUAUUUAGAAUUUAAAUAAACAAAUUAUAUUCAAGAUUGAGAUUUUUUAAAGAAUAUUUAAGUGUUUAAAACUAAUUAACAAAUCUAAAAUACUAAUUUAAGGGUUAAAAUUCUACUUGAAAAACUAAUUUUCAAAUCCUAAACCUCCAAAUCUUCAAUCCUAUAUUGUCUUAUGUUUUUUUUAUCUUUUUCUAAUCUCAAUGUAAAAGGGUUUCUAUAUAAAGAAAUCAAAAAAAUCUAAUUUAUAUUUAAGGUUUUUAAUGCAAAAAGACCUUUCUAACCUUAUUAAAUUUAUUUAUUUUUUUCUUUUACUCUAAUUUAUGGUUUUACCCUUAACAAUAAAACGGGGGGUGUUACAUAAAAAGCUUGUUAGAAAAAUUAGGCUAAUCCAACCUAUGAUAAUCACCCUAAAGAGGGGGUGAAUAGGGUGAUAGUCUCUUUUUGCAAAUUUAAACUAUGUGAAAGUAAGAGACAAUUAUAUGUAAGUAUAUAAUAAACAAUAUAAAGACGUACAAUUGCAUAUAAAUUAAAAGAGUAGGGAAGAGAGAAUGCAAACACAAGAUUUUAUAGUGGUUCAGCGCAACCCGGCCUACAUCCACUCUCCUCUAGCUUCAAUCCAAAGCUUGAGGUUCCACUAAUUCAAGGCUUCCAAACCAAGCCUUCAAGCAAUAUAAUUGGACUAUGGUUCCAAUUCACCCUCUUGGACUUUUGGCUCCAAGCACCCUUUACACUUCUCAAGAAAUAUCCCACUCUUAAACAACCCCUAGAGUGAUACCACACACUUGAGAAACUUCCUCUCAAAGAUUUACAAAUAAAUGAUCUCAUAAAAUCUUAGUACAAAAACUUUAAACUCAAAUGAUACAAGAAAACUAGAAUUGAAUGGUGCACUAAAGAUAUGCAAAUUUUAGAACAAUGGUGCACUCAAAAAUACUCUUCCAAUGCUCAAAUAUAUUCAAGAAAGGUUUGGGAAGGUUAAGUUUCUUAAACAAUAAAGAUUGGAGCCUUUUUAUAGAAGAAAAAAGUCAAACUAGUCGUUGGGGGUUCGAUCGAUUAACUAGCCAUUAGCAUUUAAUGUUGGCAGGUGACUGUUGGACCUCGACCAGACCUCAAUCGGUUGAGGUUCAACCUUGACCGGUUGAACAACCGUUUUAGAAGAAAGAGAAAAUUUUUUGCACCAUCGACCGGUUGAGCUGGGGGUCAACCAGUUAUUGUUCAUACCCUUGACCGGUUGAAUUAGGGGUUGACCAAUUACUAUUCAUGCCCUUGAUCGGUUGAGAUAGGGGUCGACCGGUUACUGUUCAUCCGGUUUAACUGGUUGAGCCGUUUUUGGUUCAACAAUCAACUUUUUCAACUUAAAACCUUUUAAACAAGUUUGAAACAACAUUUGACACAAGGUUUUAGUUGAAAAUAUGAAAUCAUCCAAUUUUAAAAAUAUUUUAAGCACAUUAAUGUGGUCUUCUUGAGCAGUAAAGCAAUUAUAGUAAUUAUUAAUCUUCAUCUAAUUAAUCAAGUAAAAUAAUUAUCAUUAAUUAUAAUAAUUCAUUUUUUUAUUGUGUAGAUAUUAUCUACUUUACUACAAUGCGCAUCUACGACUUUUUGUCUUAUUGAUGAGUUAGGUAAUGUUUGCUCACCCAUUUCAGCCCUUUGCAGUGCCUGUGUCCAUGCCUUUAAUGCUACGUCCGUAUUUCCAUUUAUCAGCUUAGGUUAGAUAAAAUAUGCAGAAGGUAAAAUCAGACAUAAUAGAAAUUAGGGUCUGUAUGUCAUAUAUUUGUGCGCGAAUUUGGGAUCGGGUUGAAGUAAAAAAGUCAAAAUGAAAUUACAAUAAGAGUACGGUAAAGGGAUAACGUUGGGACAGCAGUACUGAUGUACACUUCAAGGAAGUAGGCCAUGGCAUGUCAUGCCACCUGGAACAAAAUAAGGGGUUCUACAGAUUCUCUUAUCGGAAUCAUUUGAGAUAUAGGAUGGAUGCAUAGAAGGGAAGGAGACGACUCCUCUAAAACUUGUGUUUGUGUGUAGGUGAGAAGUUGGGAUUCCCUGAUCAAUUAAAGAUGGCUGAGGAGAGGGAUCCAGUAGAGUUGGGCAUGGCACUCGGCGCAGAUUCGAACAUGAAAGAAGACAGCGUAACAGCUAAGAAGAGGGCAAAACGGUGGGCAAUCACCGCAGAAGCGAGCAUGGAAAGAGAGAAGGGGAUGCUUGAUCAAGAUGAAGAUGACUUGUGUGUAGGUGAGAAGUUGGGAUUCUCCGAUCAAUCAAACAGGGCUAAGGAGAGGGAUCUAGUAGAGUUGGGCAUGGCACUCGACGCAGAUUCAAACAUGAAAGAAGAUAAGGAAACAAGUAAGAAGUGGAGGGCAGAUUCGACACUGAUCAGCUCAGAUUCGACGAUGGAAGAAAACCCUGCACCGCCUGAGAUGUGGGUGCCAGAAACCUCGCCAAUCUUCGCAGAUACUAAGAUGGCAAUAGACAUCAGCUCAUAUUUCACAAUGAAAGAAUGCCGUGCAUCGCCGUGGGCGCGAGAAUCCAUCAUGUUAGGCAUGCCAAUCACCGCAGAAGCGAGCAUGGAAAGAGAGAAGGGGACGCUUGAUGAAGAUGAAGAUGAAGAUGAAGAUGAAGAUGAUUUGUUUGUAGGCAUGCCAAUCUCCGCAGAUGCGAACAUGGAAACAGAAAGGACAAUGCUUCUUGUAAGAAAUAUAAGUGCUCCUUCCACACACGGACCCCACGCCCCCGCUGAUGAAGAUGAAGAUGCGGAGCAUAAGAAAUUAAUGGACCGCCGCAUGCACGCGCUAGCGACCCAAGGAAAUGUUGAUGGCUUUAUUAAAAUUUUAGGCUCGAUAUCCUCCGAACAGAACCCACUUCUCUGCCAAGUUAGUCCCCGGAAAAACACAUGCCUCCACAUAGCAGCAAGCUUUGGACACCAUGAUCUUGCCAAGUACAUCGUGAAAGAGUGUCCAGAUCUUAUAAAAAAUAAAAACUCCAAAGGCGACACGGCACUUCAUAUUGCUGCUAGAAAAAGGAAUUUAUCUUUCGUUAAGAUUGUCAUGGAUUCAUGCCCUUCUGGAGGUGGCGCAUCCCAAGAUGUAGAGAAGGCUGAGCCUUCAUUGCUGGGAAUUGGUAACAAAGAAGGAAAUACAGUGUUGCAUGAGGCACUGAUAAACCGUUGCAAACAAGAAGAGGUGGUGGAGAUCCUUAUUAAGGCAGAUCCCCAAGUGGCUUAUUAUCCGAAUAAGGAGGGAAAGUCACCAUUGUAUCUAGCUGCAGAAUCACACUACUUCCACGUCGUAGAGGCUAUAGGAAACUCUGAAGUUGAGGAGCGCAUGAAGAACAGAGACCGCAAAGCAGUCCAUGGUGCCAUUAUGGGAAAGAAUAAGGGUAUUUCCCGCCUCCUUCUCUCUCUCUAUUAAAUUUUCUUCUUCCUCUUCAAACUUAAAAAGCAUUGUUUGCAAUGACGAUGGGGCUUAAAUAAUCUGUUGCUUCUAACCAUAGAAGAAGUCUACUGGGCUUGUCUCAGCUUUUGCUUCAAUAUUCCUUGUUCCUAAAAAUUCAAAUUUUUUUAUUAAUUUAUGGGAGAUCCAUAAUAUUUACAACUCUUCUUUCCCAACCCAAACCCCGUCGUAAAUAUUCUUCAUCUUUGUUUUCAAAAUCCUAAUCCUAUUUUGUCAUCUUCUAAUUAUUCUUCUUCAAAACUCCAGUCCUAAUUAAUUCUUUAUUUUAUUUUCUAAAUCACAAAAAUUUAAAAUUAACUAUAAAAAAAAAAAAAAAAAAUUGCAGUUACAUAUGGCUUCGUUGUGUGCAUAUGGGAUGGUUUAAUUAAAUAGAGGGGGUAAAAAGGGCCGUAAGAGGGAAGAACAAUUGUCUGUAUAGUUUGGGGUUGACUUCAAGUGAUCAUUUAAGAUUUGAUUUCGAGAUUAAGGUUAGAGUUAGGAUUUUUCUUUUCCCUUUUUUUUUCUUUAUGUUAUAUGUUUCUUAUAGAUGCGAUGAAGUAGAAUGGAUCCUACACAUUUGAAAGAAACACAAAUUAUAAAUGAUGUGAUGAUUUUCUAUUAUUCCCCAUUUAACUAUUGCAAUAUUAUUAAGAGUAUGGAUGGGAAUAAGAUAGGUGUUUACAGAAAUCAUCCCGUUGAGUUUGAAAUUUAAAUAAAUGAGGUUUGAAAUGAGUUUGAGAUUUUUUCAAAGAAUUAAACAGAGCCAAAUGGGGUGGGACAUGUAUGAGGACGUUUAAUUUUUUUUUAUUGGGAUGGGACUUAGAAAUAUUUUGAAUAAAUGAGAUGGGGGUUGGGAUAGAAGUGACCAUCCCGAAUCCACCCCAUUUCAAUCCCUAAUUAAGAAGAAGAUAAUGUAAAUAACAAAAUUUACAGAAUUUUUAAAAUCCAAGGAGGGAACUUAUAAUUAAAGGAAGCUUUUAAAAGGAUGGGCACCCCAUGUGGUACAACCUCACACCAAAUUGAUACUGUUUUGUUGAAUUACAGAUAAUAAAAUAAUCAAUUAAAAAAAAUCUCUUUUCUAUUUUUAUAUUAAUUUUCCUUCCUUAUUUUAAUUAUCUAAUAAUUGAACCCUUUCCAAACAAAAAAAAAAGCAAUCUUAAUUUUAUUUUUUAUAUGUGAAUUUUUUUUUAUGUAAUUUUAGUUAUUAAUGACUUGCACUCAUAUAAUAAUAUAUUUAUUAGAAAAAGGUUGUUUGAAACAUUCAUAUAAAUUUUUCUUUUAUAUAUGAUGAAAAAAUGCCAGAGAUGUUGGAAAAAAUACUGGCCAUGAGGCUCGUCCACCAAAAAGACGAAGAUGGAAGGACUCCACUUCAUUGUGCAGCAUCCAUUGGAUAUCUCGAAGGAGUUCAAAUGCUGUUAGACCAAUCUAACUUGGAUCCAUAUCGAACGGACUCUCAUGGCUUCUGUCCCAUCCAUGUUGCAUCAAUGAGAGGCAAUGUGGACAUUGUCAAAAAGUUGCUCCAGGUCUCCUCUGACUCAGUAGAGUUGCUAAGCAAACUCGGUGAGAACAUUCUUCAUGUGGCAGCCAGGUAUGGUAAAGACAAUGUAGUCAAUUUUGUGCUCAAAGAAGAAAGGCUUGAGAACUUUAUAAAUGAGAAGGACAAGGCUGGAUACACGCCACUGCAUUUGGCAACCAUGCAUAGACAUCCCAAGGUCGUAAGCUCUUUAACAUGGGAUAAAAGAGUUGAUGUGAAUCUUGUGAAUGAUUUAGGCCAGACUGCUUUGGACAUUGUAUUAUCAGUGGAGCCUCCAACUACAUUUGACCAGGUAUAUCUAUAUGAUGAUUUGCAUCUUGUUUUCUAAAUGAUGGGUACUACUAGUAGUUUCACCCUUCAACUGCAUGCCAUGAGUAGGAAAUUAGAAUGCCUCAUCCAUGCAUUGUUACAGUGCUAUGGCAUUUUCCUUCUUAGAUGCAUGCAUGCAAUUAAAUUAUUAAAAGGAUCGAUCAGGACAACAUGGUUUGUUUUCCUUUCCUAGAAGGACCGACUAAUAUUAAUAAGAACUAGAUCAACACUUCAACUCAAGCCACUAACCCUUGAUUGAAGGUCAAUUUGAGCCCAAGAUAUCCUAAAAGUCAAGAAAAUUAUGGAGCCUAACUCAAUCACCAUCACCCUCGCCCAGAUUAGAGCGACUCAACCAAGGUUAGGCUAGGUUUCUCCAGCAAGUGCAUAUACUCUUGAUGUCGGCAAAGACUUAUGGGAAUAAUUUUUUGCAUCAUACUAAAAAGUUUUCAGUGUAGAGAACUGCUAUAUCAUGUGCGCUUGUGGUUGCUCUCUUGCUGCUUCACAUUGCUUAAUUUCAUACUUCUAGUGGGUGUUCAUUGAAUUUACAGGGAAAAGAGAAUAGCUUCCCAACAAAAUAUUACGAAACCCAACUCAUGGAAUUAUAGUCUACUUUUAGUUAUUAUUACGACACAUACAUUUUAUGUUCUCUCUUUCUCACGAUUACAUUAACAGCAACAUUUUUUUCUCUACUACGCAGGCACUAAUUUGGACAGCACUCAAAUCUGCUGGUGCACGACCAGCGGGAAAUUCAAAGUUCCCACCCAAUAGACGUUGUAAACAGUACUCUGAAUCACCUAAAAUGGACAAGUACAAGGACAGGGUAAACACUCUUUUGUUGGUUUCGACCCUUGUUGCCACAGUGACAUUUGCUGCUGGUUUUACCAUGCCAGGUGGCUACAACAGCUCCGACCCAAAUGUCGGCAUGGCUGCCUUGCUGAUGAGAAAUAUGUUCCAAAUGUUCGUCAUCUGCAAUACCACUGCUAUGUAUACCUCCAUCCUCGCGGCAAUCAUCCUCAUCUGGGCACAGUUAGGUGAUCUCAAUUUGAUGGAUACUGCCCUCAGAUUUGCAUUGCCAUUCUUGGGGUUGGCCCUUACUGCGAUGUCCUUAGGCUUCAUGGCAGGUGUUUACCUGGUGGUCAGUAAUCUUCAUUGGCUUGCAAUUGUUGUCGUCAUUAUUGGAAUCAUCUGCCUUGUCGGUCUCCUAGUACCCUUUUUUUUACUUUUCCUCCCAAGUAAGUCUACUAAUCGUAUCCUUAGGCACAUCUCCUAUUAUCCGUUUCUUAUAUUGGUAUGGGCAUCUAAAAGCCCCGAAAUGAAACGGGAAGAUUAGCUAGCCCUGUUGAUGAUGUCUGCUAGCUCCAUCUUCCCCUAUGUUUGUUGCUUCUUUCAGCAUUAUCUCAAUGACUUGGUAGACAAAGUAUGUUAUGUAUAAAUGCUUAGUGUGAUAUAUUGAUGGUGUUGUACAUGACCAUUUCUUAUAUAAAUCUAUGGUUUUUGGAUCUAUAAUUAGGUAGUUCUAUAUAUAUUUCAAUAAAUACUCCAUUCAUACAUAAAUAACCUGAAUUCGUUAUUAAUAGGUUCAGUUUAAUUUAUUGAUUGAAAUUUGAAUUUGCAAUUGCAAUUUUUACACUUUUUUAAUUAUUAUUAUGAGAAUUUUGAUUUUCAAAUCGGUUGCAUCUUCUACAUUACAAUUCAUUGGGAAGGGGAAAAGGUUUUAAUUUUGGAAAAAAAAAAUUUAUUGGCUUUUGAGUUCCAAAGAAUUUUUCAAAAUUAAGGAGUUUAAUAAUUUUUUAAAAAUAAUUUGAAAAUAAAAUAUCGAGGGAGUUAACACUAGAACUAAGAAUUAGUUGAAAAUGACUAUAUUAAUCUCUAGUUUAUGCACAAUUAUAUUUUUCAUUAUAUUUUAUUAUAUUAUUAAUAUUCAUAUUUUAUUAAAAAUUAUUUAUUUUGAAUUUAUUUAUAAUUAAAAAAUUAUUUUUAUUUUUAAUAAGACACAAAUUAAAUUUAACUUAUAUUAUAUAAAUUAAAUUUAUAAUUUUGUGAUUUUUACAAAAUAAAAAUAAAAUUUAUUUUUAGAAACAACUAAUUUAAUUCUUAUAAUCAUUUAAGUUAUCUAAAUAUAGAAAUAAAUGAGAAAAUAAUGGAGAUCUUCAUUUCCAUUCCUGUUUUACCGCGUGGCAAACAGUCCCUCAUCUUAAUUAAUAACAUAACAUGAUUUAUAUAUUUGAUGGACGGUAAAAUCAACCCUUUGUUUGGUAACUCAUAUUGUAGUAAACCCUAAGUUGAGUUUGAUGAUAGUCGGACGUAUUGAUGACGGAUUUGACGGACAUAACGUUCAAACCCGCUCAAAGACUCAAUCAAACCCACAGAACUUCACAACUGAUUAAAAUAAUUUUAUAAACCAAAAUGAUCAAACUUUGUAGUUUCUGGGAUUCGUGUUGAUGCUUCCAAAUAGGUUCCAAGAUGUUCCCAGUGAGUUUGGAAAAGAGAGAAGUGGAUUCCUUGAGCUUCUCAAACAUUUUCUAAGAAAUUGUCAAACACUUGGUCUCUUCAUCUAACCCGUAUGAUUCAAACACACCCAUGAAGACUUUUCUUCAUAGGACGUCACAUUUCAAACUCCAGCAAACGAGUAAGAUAUUUGAGUUGCCGUGCUUCAUAUCCAUUCCGUGUCUGUUGGAAGUCCUAUGUGAUGUAAGUUGGACUAUCAAAUGAAUUUCUUUUAGUAUCAUAUUUUUUAUUCAACUUAUCAUAUGUAUGUAAUGCAUAGGUUCUUCUCUCACAGAUUGACUUGGCCCUUACUUCCAUCCCAAGCAAGAAAGUGCAGGUAUCUCAUGGCCGGCAGUGGACUAAUGAUAUAUGAACUCAUUUUAAAUUGGGUCUGACUAACUUGGCCACUGGGGUUGUUACCUCGAAAGGACUUGAGUGGGGUUCAUGUUUAAGUCUUUCUUUUUUAAUCUAGGUAUGUACUGUGUGUGCUCUCUUCUUAUUUUAGUCGAAUUCAAAGAAUAGUUGUUUCUUCCUAGUCUUGGUAAGUGGUUGCUCAAGGAUAUCAUAUUAAGAUUUUUAUUAUUUUUAUUUUCUGUUUUUGACUUAGUGCCUUCUCAAGAUUUUGAAUUGUCAAAAAAGCUGGUUAUAUUGUAUAAACAAUCAUCAUAGUAUUAGAAUUAGCAUAUAUAAUUUGGUAUUGAUGUGCAUGUUCUCUUCCUCUGUAUGACCUAUCCUUUGCGAUGAAGUAUCGGACUGGUUUCUUUGUUGCCAUUAUUUCUUUUUUCUUUUAAACUUCUUAAACCAACAUAAAUACAAGCACAGCUAACGGAUUUGAUUAGGCAAGUCAACUACAAUAGGAGAUAUUAUGAGACAAGACGAUUUAAUGAUGAAUUUUGAGAGGCUAAGAAAGCAGGGGAGGGGAGAAAGAUGGAAGACAGGGAAACAAAGGCAAAAACAACCCAAGAAGCAAGCCAUCUUGGCAAUCUCUGAGCUUAAGGAUGCCAAAUUAUUGGAGGACUAUGUGACAGCUAGUUCCAUGGAUCCUGAUUUGUACAGAGCUACGAUACAAGGAGACAUUCUUGAAUUCAUAAAAGCCGUGGAACAAGGACCAGACAAUAGACACGCUGGUGUACCUGCUGCAUCUUGUAUCCAAGUGACCCCUCAGAAGAACACAGUUCUUCACCUAGCAACGAUCUUUGGACAUGACGAGAUUGUAAAACUCAUUUCUAAGGACUUGCCCUUUCUUGUCAUGGAAAGAAAUUGCAGAGGUGACACUGCACUUCACAUUGCAGCCAGAGCUGGCAAUUCACUGCUAGUGAAUUUGUUGAUUAAUUCAACAGAAGGGGUUUUGGGUGUGAAGAAUGAGACGGGUAAUACCGCAUUGCAUGAGGCAUUGCAACAUCGUCAUGAAGAGGUGGCCUGGAAUAUAAUUAACAAGGACAGAAAUAUGUAUUGUUCUGUCAAUAAGGAAGGAAAAUCUUUGUUGUAUUUGGCCGCAGAAGCAGGAUAUGCAAAUCUUGUUAGGUUUAUAAUGGAAAAUCCUGCAGGAAACUACAGCAUUGAAGGAAAGCUCGAGAACAAACCAUCUGUGAAAGCUGCCAUUCUUGGGAAGAAUACAGGUAAAUGAAAUUCUCUCCUCUAAUCUCCCUUUUUUUUCCCUUUAUUGGUAUGCUUGUCUUUCAAUUUCAGACUUCCAAGAGUCUGCACUUGGAUUGGAAAUUUUUAAGUGACUGCACUUUCACACUUCUUAGUUUUUUCCUACAAAAAGCCCUGCAACUACUAUAAACCACCCAAUUCUCUGCACCUGUGAAUCAGAAAACUUUACCCAAACUAUAUUGCAUCCAAUUGUCACCAUUAAAAGGUAAUGAUAUCAUGGCACAUAAGAGCAUUCUCAUUUUUCUGGAAGUUGGAAGACCUCAAUUAUUUCUUGCUUAAUUAAUUGGUGAUAUUCCUGUGCUUCCAUGUUUGAACUAGUGUGUCCAUUGUAAUCUCCUUCCAUGGAUUUCCUUAGGUGUGGCUGCCCAUCAAGAAGAGAUCAGGAAUAGUCCAGAAAUAUUACUGUCUUAUUCUAAUCACAUGAGUAUCUAGCAGUAAAGAAAUAUAUCUGUAGUAGCUGAUUUUUUUAGAUAGGUCCUCUAGUAGCCAAUCGACCUUUUUUCUUUACAAGAAGGCUUCUAUUGUGACUUGUGAAGACAGUGAUAAAUUGACAAUAUUUCUGAUUAUCAUUUGGAUUUAGGAGCAUAUUUUACCAUAUAUUUUGUUCUCACACAUGGCAAGAUUUUCAUUUAAUGUGUUAUCAUCAGUCCUGUGAUCACCAAAAAAUUCGCUUAAAUAUGGUUCACACUUCUUUGUUUGUUUGUUUUCAUUUUUUUGUUUUGGGCGACAUUAGAUGUUCUCAAGAUAAUGUGGGAAAGAGAUCAAUCAUCCUUCAAUUUAAGAUGUGAAGAAGGGAGGAACCCUCUUCACUAUGCAGCAUCUAUUGGUUUUGUUGAAGGAAUCAAUUACUUUUUAGACAAAUACUGUAUCGCUGCUUACCAAGGGGACAAAGAUGGCCUCUCUCCUAUUCAUAUAGCAGCCAUCAAAGGUCAUUUCCACAUAAUUCAAGAGAUGCUCCAGCAUCGCCCAGAUUUGAUGGAGCUGCUCACUUGCAAAGGCCAGAAUACCCUUCAUGUCGCAUGGUACUUGACUUUCAAUUAUUUUAUGCUGAUGGUGGUAUGGUACUUGACUUUCAAUGAACAAUGGUUAACUUUUGGUGAGAUGUAUUUGCUGGUGUAUAACCUGAUAUUUUUAGUUUGAAUAUUCUGAGGGAUAAAAAAGAAAUAAUGAUAUUUAAAUAAGUAUUUUUUAUUUAACAAUAUUAAUAAUUUUAUUUAUGAAUUUAUAUUUAUCUUUUAUUUAAUUAGUAAAUAAAAUAUAUAAUAAGAUAAUUAAGAUUAACUUAUUUAUAAUAAUUCUAUUUUAAUUCAUUAAUAAUAUAAUAUAUAUUUAUAAUUUAUCAAUUAUGUCUUCCCUAAACAAAAACUUUGUCCAUUGAUAUAGGUCAUUUCUUAAUUUGUUCGAGAAUCUAGGUUUAUUUUCUACUCUUGUGGGCUAGUGAAUUUUUUUUUUUUUUUUUUGAAGUGUAAGUGUUACAAUAACCCCACAUCAGAAAUAAAAAAACACCCCCUAACCCUAACGUACCGUACAAAUGAUCUUUUAUUAACUUAGACAUUUACUUGACCAAAGCAAAAGCCAUUAGAUGCUUGUCUUGUAAUGCAAUCUUGCCCUUUGUUCAAUUCACAGCCUUAAAUGAUUCACUGUCAUCCAAUAGAUGGAAAUGGUGAUCUUAAUCGGUUUUUAAAAAUAAAUAAUUGUUUUUGUAUAAUUAAAAAUUAAUUAGGAUUAAAGAUUAAAAAACAAGACUAAAGUUUAAAUUUUGUUUGAAUUUUAAAAUUUAGAAAUUUAAAAAUAAAAAAAUGUAAAAUCAGAAAGGAUUGAAAUUAGGAUCUGUAUAUGAUAUAUUUGUGCGUCGGUAUAGAAGAUUGGGAUUGGAUUGAAGUAGAAAAUUCAAAAUGAAAUUACAAUAAGAAUACGGUAAAGGGAUAACGUUGGGACACCACUACUGGUGUACACUUCCAAGGCUGGAUGUAAAAGAAGGCCAUGCCAUGUCAUGCCACCUGGAACAAAAUAAGGGGUUCUACAGAUUCUCUUAUCGGAAUCAUUUGAGAUAUGGAUGCAUAGAAGGAAAGGAGACUCCUCUAAAACUUGUGUAAACUUGUGUUUGUGUGUAGGUGAGAGGUUGGGACUCUCCGAUCAAUAAGGAACUCGGAGCAGAUUCGAACAAGGAAGAAGGCGGGGAAGGGCAGAUGGCACCACACAUGCCAUUCUCCGCAGAUGUGGACAUGGAUAGAGAUAGAAGUGCUCCUUACAGGUAUAAACACAUCGUCCCUGCAAUCUCCGCAGAUAGAAGUGCUCCUUCCACACAUGUGGGCAUGGCUAGAGAUAGAAGUGGUCCUUCCACACAUGUGGGCAUGGCUAGAGAUAGAAGUGCUCCUUCCACACAUGUGGGCAUGGCUAGAGAUAGAAGUGCUCCUUCCACAUAAGGAGUCGUCGCUCCCGCCGAUGAAGAUGAAGAUGUGGAGCAGGAUAGAUUAAUGGACAGCCGCAUGUACAUGCAGGCGACCCGAGGACGUGUUGAUGAAUUUAUUCAAAUUUUAGAAUCGAUAUCCUCUGAAAAGGAACUUUAAAGCUCAGAAAUCCUCUCCCAAGUUAGCCCCCGGAACAACACAUGCCUCCACAUAGCAGUAAGAUUUGGACACCAUGAGCUUGCCGAGUACAUCGUGAAAGAGUGUCCAGACCUUAUCAAAAAGACAAACUCCACAGGCGACACUGCACUUCAUAUUGCUGCUAGAAAAAAGGAUUUAUCUUUCGUUAAGUUUGCCAUGGAUUCAUGUCCUUCUGGAAGUGGCGCAUCCCGAGAUGUAGAGAAGGCUGAGCAUCCAUUGCUGAUCAUUGUUAACAAAGAAGGAAAUACAGUGUUGCAUGAGGCACUGAUAAACCGUUGCAAACAAGAAGAGGUGGUGGAGAUCCUUAUUAAGGCAGAUCCCCAAGUGGCUCAUUAUCCGAAUAAGGAGGGAAAGUCGCUAUUGUUUCUAGCUGCAGAAGCACACUACUUCCAUGUCGUCGAGGCUAUAGGAAAACCUAAAGUCGAGAAGCACAUGAACAUUAACAGAGACCGCGAAGCCAAGCCGGCAGUCCAUGGUGCCAUUCUGGGAAAGAAUAAAGGUAUGACCCGUCCCAUUCUCAAUCUCCAUUUAAUUCUCCUGCUCUUCUUCUUCUUCUUCAAACCUAAAAAACACCAUUUCCAAUAAAAUCUUAAACCUAUAUUCGAUUCUCAUAGUUGAAAAAAAAAUUAUUAAGGAAAGUGAUUUUCUAAUAUGCUGUUUUACCAUGAAAACAUGAAAGAAAGUGAAAUAUAAUUAAAAUUAAUAAGAAAUUUAUAUCAUUUAAAAUUAUUUAAUUUUUAUAUAGAAUAGUUAAAUAAGUAAAAUGAAUUUAAAGUAAUAUAUAAAAAUAAUUUAUCAAUUUAAAUUUUUUAUUUUUCCUUUUUUAAUUUUUCUUCUUUAUUUUCUAUUUUCACAUAUUCCCUCAAACUUUGGGACCAAACAUAACCUAAAUGAUCACUUGAAGUCAAUCCCAAACUAUCCAAACAAUUCUUCUUUCUUAUAGCCCUUUUUGCCUCCCCUCUAUUUAAACCAGCCAAUAUGCACGCAACAAAGCCACAACAGCAAAUUUUCUUUAGUUAAUUUUAAAAUUUUGUGAUUUAGAAAAGAAAAUUAAGAAUUAGGAGCUAGUGGGGUUUUGAAGAAGAAUAAGAAGAUGACAAACUAGGAUUAGGAUUUUGAAAACAAAGAUGAAGAAUAUUAUUUACAAGGACGGGUUUGGGCCGGGAAGAGGAGUUAUAAACAUUAUUGAUCUCCCAUAAAUUAAUAAAAAUUUUAAUUUUUUAGGAACGGGGAAUAUUGAAGCAAAAGAUGAAAAAAAAAAAAAAAGCCAAUUUACUUUUUCUAUAAUUAGUUCAACAGAAAAACAUAAAUGUGUUCUCAUUUUAAUUUCUUUUAUAUAUGAUGAAAAAAUGCCAGAGAUGUUGGAAAAAAUACUAGCCCUGAAGAUCGUCCACCAAAGAGAUGAACAUGGAAGGACUCCACUUCAUUAUGCGGCAUCGAUUGGAUAUCUUGAAGGAGUUCAAACGCUGUUAGCUAAAGACCAAUCUAACUUCGAUCGAUAUCAUAGGGACGACGAAGGCUUCUUACCCAUCCAUGUUGCAUCAAUGAGAGGCUAUGUAGACAUCGUCAAAGAGUUGCUCCAGGUCUCCUCUGACUCAAUAGAAUUGCUUAGCAAACACGGUGAGAACAUUCUUCAUGUGGCAGCCAAGUAUGGUAAAGAUAAUGUAGUCGAUUUUCUGCUGAAAAAAAAAGGGGUUGAGUACCACGUAUGCACAUCCUAAGGUCGUAAACUAUUUAACAUGGGAUAAAAGAGUUGAUGUGAAUCUUGUGAAUAAUGAAGGCCAGACUGCUUUCGACAUUGCUGUAUCAGUGGAGCAUCCAACUUCAUUGCACCAGGUAUAUAUGACGAUUUGCAUCUUGUUUUCUGAAUUAAGGGUACUACUAUUGGUUUCACCUUGAACUGCAUGCAUUGUUAAUGCUAUGGCAUUUUCCUUCUUAGAUGCAAGCAUGUGAAUUAUUAAAAGGAUCAAUCAGGAAAACAUAGUUUGUAUUUCUUUCCUAGAAGGACCGACUGAUAUUAAUAAAACCUAGUUCAACUAAAAGAAGAUCAAUUUGAUCCCAUGAUAUCCUAAAAGUCAAGAAAAUUAUGGAGCCUAACUCAAUCACCAUCACCCUCGCCCAGAUUAGAGCGGCUCAACCAAGGUUAGGCUAGGUUUCUCCAGCAAGUGCAUAUACUCUUGAUGCCGGCAAAGACUUAUUGGAAUAAUUUUUUGCAUCAUACUAAAAGGUUUUCAGUGUAGAGAACUGCUAUAUCAUGUGCGCUUGUGGUUGCUCUCUUGCUGCUUCACGUUGCUUAAUUUCAUACUUCUUGUGGGUGCUCAUUGAAUUUAUAGGGAAAAGAGAAUGGCUUCCCAACAAAAUAUUUCGAAACCCAACUCAUGGAAUUAUAGUCUACUUAUACUUUCUAUAGUUAUUAUUACGACGCAUACAUUUGAUUUUCUUUCUUUCUCACGACUACAUUAACAGCAACAUUUUUCUCUCUACCACGCAGAGACUAAUUUGGACAGCACUCAAGUCUACUGGUGCACGACGAGCCGGAAAUUCAAAGGUCCCACCAAAACUGCCUAAAUCACCUAAUACGGACCAGUACAAGGACAGAGUAAACACUCUCUUGUUGGUUUCGACCCUUGUUGCCACCGUGACAUUUGCUGCUGGUUUUACCAUGCCAGGAGGCUACAACAGCUCUGAUCCAAGUGCCGGCAUGGCUAUCUUUCUGAUGAGAAAUAUGUUCCAUAUGUUCGUCAUCUGCAAUACCAUUGCUAUGUAUACCUCCAUCCUCGCGGCAAUCAUCUUCAUCUGGGCACAGUUACGUGAUCUCAAUUUGAUGGAUACUGCCUUCAGAUUUGCAUUGCCAUUAUUGGGGCUGGCCCUUUAUGCAAUGUCCUUCGGCUUCAUGGCAGGUGUUUCCUUGGUGGUCAGUAAUCUUCAUUGGCUUGCAAUUGUUGUCUUCAUUAUUGGAAUCAUCUGCCUUUUCAGUCUCUCAGUACCCUUUCUUUUACUCUUCCUCCCAAGUAAGUCUACUAAUCGUAUCCUUAGGUACAUCUCCUAUUAUCCGUUCCUUAUACUGGUAUGGGCAUCUGAAAGCCCCGAAAUCAAACAGGAAGAUUAGCUUGCCCUGUUGAUGAUGUAUGCUAGCUCCAUCUUCUCCUAUGUUUGUUGCUUCUUUCAGCAUUAUCUCAAUGACUUGGUAGACAAAGCAUGUUAUGAAUAAAUGCUUAGUGUGAUCAGAACUUCAAUAUAUUGGUGGUGUUGUACAUGAUCAUUUGUCAUAUAAAUCUGUAGUUUCUGGAGCUGUAAUAUGUGAAAUACUCUAUAUAUAUUUCAAUAAAUACUCCAUUCAUCCAUACUGAUCAAUGCAUAUUUGUCUUUGCUUUAAAAUUUUUUAGAAAAGAAAAAAAGAAAAAAAAAUCUUGGAAAUCCCAAAAUGAUUAAUUUGAGAAAUAUCAUUAUUUAACAAAUAAAAAAACACAUGAAUAUAUAAACCCCACUACGUCAUUUUCUUUGAAGUACCCUGUUGCGGAUUUGAUGAGAAAAAGGUAAUCAAAUGGCAUAGCAUAAAAUUUAAAUUAGAGUUUUCUCAUCAAAAUGUGCAGAAUUAAAACCUUUACUAAAACAAUUGAUUUUUAGGAACCAAAUUUUGGUGAAAAAAAAAAAUCAUAAUUCAUCUAUAAAACUAAUUAUUGACAAUAAACUUUUACAUUUCUUACAAACUAUUUAAUGAUGAUACCUUAGUGAUUAACUUCUAAACUCAUUUAUAAAAUGUAACAUUAGACUUUGUUUGAUUUUGAAGAGUUUGAAAGGAAAUGCAAAAGAAAGAAAAAAAAAGAGGAGAAAAAUAAAAGGAAAGAAAAAAUAAAUUUAAAGUGAAUAAAUUAUUUUGAUAUAUUAUUUUAAAAUUUUUCAUUUAUUUAAAUUUUUAUAUAAAAAUAAAAUAAUUUAAAAUCUCAAGAUUACUAAAAAAUAUCUUGGGAUAGCAAAAAGUUUAUGAUCUUUUUCCUACGUGGAACAAGUGAUAAUUGAGCACCACCUAUUCAAUCCCUCUAAUUAGUUAUGAUUAUCUUAUUUAAUUAAUGAUUUAUGUAUUUCAUAGAUAAGUUGACAAUUUUAUUCUAUACAUUUUAAACUAAAACUCUAUAUACUUUCUUGUAACCAAUUAGAGUCUACGGAUGGUAAUGGGGUGGAUUUUUUUGAGUACUUGCCCGUCCCAUCCUUAAUGGAAUGGAUUUGAAUUUUAACUAAAUGGGUUUAGGAUGGGUUUGGAAAUUUUUUUAAAACUUGGGGUGAAUUUGGGUGUUGUCUUGUCUCAUCCCACCAUAUUAUAUAUAAAAUUAAUUUUUAAAAUUAAAUUAAAUUAAUUUUUAUUUUACUAUUUUUACUAUGUAGAUAAUAAUGAAAUAUUUUUUUUUAAUAAAAUAAGUUAUAAAAAAUAUAAUAAUUUAAUUAUUUAUAAAAUAUAUUUAUUUUAAUGUAAUUAAAAAAAAUUAAAAUUUAAAAAAAAAAAAAAAAAAGUUAAACUGGGUGGGAUGGGGUGGGGCAAGUAUGAAAAUUUCUCAUACCCAUCCCUUCCUGUUUAAUUUUUUAAAUGGGGCAGAGAUGAAAAUUAUUUUUAAUAAAUGGGACGAGGUUGGGAUGGGGGUGACCCGUCCCAUUGCCAUCCUUGCUAGAGUCUGGAAUCGUAAAAACUCAAGAUUACUCACAAUUCAUCUAGGAAUAGCCAAAGUUAAUGAUCUUGUUUCUACAUAGAGCAAGUGAUGAUUGAGGACCAUAUAUCUAGUCUGUCUAAUUAGUUAUGUGAUGCAAGGUUAAAAACCUUAUCUUAUUUCAUAACAUGAUUAUAUUUUAUAGAUCAUAAAAUCAAAUCUUUGUUUGGUAACUCAUAUUUAGUAAACCUUAAGAACCUAAAUUCCCCACGUGUUUGACAUAGAUUCGAAAUUUUGAACCCAAUUUUAAGUUGAGUUUGAUGAUAGUCGGACGUAUUGAUGACAGAUUUGACGGUCAUUACGUUCAAACCCGCUUUAAAAGACUCAAACCCACGUAACUUUGAAUUGGUUAAAAUAAUUUUAUAAAGUGAAACGAUUAAACUUCUUACUUUUUGGGAUUGGUGUUUGUACUUCCAAAUGAUGUUCCUAGUGAGUUUGGGGAAGAGAGUGAUAGGAUUUCAGAAUAAUUAUAAGCCUAAUUCUUGCAAAACAAUCAUCACAUUGGUCUUAAAACUUUGUGAUUUUCUCAAAGUAAAUAAAUAAUCAAGAAAACAAUCGUUAAAUUCUAACUUUUAAACCAUGUCUAGAAAAAUAAAGUUUAAACCAAAAAUCCUAAUAAUAUCAAAAUCUCAUCCUAAUUAUCAUUCAUCACCUGAUCAGAUGGUACUUAAAAAAUUGUUAAUGAAGGGAAAUGAACUUAAAACCUAAUAAGAAAUAUUAAUACAAUUUCACAAAUAAAAUAUUUUUAAUAAAGAUUAUAAAAAGAAGAUAUGAUGUAUAAUCAUUUUCAUAAAAACUUUUUAGUUCAAACAUCCUAAUACAUUCAAACUUUUCAAUAAAACAUUUUUAUAUUCAUGUCAAACAAUUUUAUAUUAAAUUCAAAUAAAUUGUAUUUAAAAUAUUUUACUCUGAUUAUCAAAUAUCAAAUGGUACUCAACUAUGUGAGACUUUACAAAUGGACGGCUACUCUCAAAUUUGUUCCUUUUAAGACAAAACUAAACACUACUAAUACUAGUAAUCUCUAACCAAACCUUUAGAUGUUGGGGUUCAAAUCAAUUGCAUUCUUCAUCAUAAAAUGUAAAUGUUAACUAUUAUAUCGUGUUAAUAUGGACUAAAAAGUCAAAUAUUAUAUCCAAUUGAUAAAGACCAAAAAGUCGAUUAUUAUAUUCCGUUACCUAUGACCAAACAAACCAAAGUCAAACACUUUGUUUUAUUUAUUCAAACUUAUAAAAACAUAAUAUUUUCACAUAUUUAUGUUAUAAACAAAAGAAAAGGUUUUAAUAUAUUUUUCAUGAAAAAUAUAUUUGCUUUAUGCAUAAAAACAAAAAUAACAUUUUACACAUUUCAAAAUAACAUGUCAAAAGAAAAUCAUUUUUUAUUAUAAAAUCCUCAUUAAUUUCCCUUACCUCGAAAAACAUUCAUAAUCCUUGAAGAAUUUAAUUCCAUAUAAACAAAUUUUCAUCUAAUAACAUAAGAAAAACAAUUAUUACUAUUAAUUAUUUGUCUAAAAUUAUAAGUUUGAUAAUCCUAAAAUUUUAUAUAUUAAUAUUAAUAAGUAUCAAUGAUAAUUUAAUUAAUUUAUUCCUUAUUAAAGUAAAAUUAAUAAAUUGCUAAUUUAUAUAAAACUUUUUUCUUAAAUUUGAUUCUAAAAAACAAAAAUACAUUACUAAUUUAAUUAAACUACAAUUUUUAUUUCAUUAAUUAAAUUUUAUUUAUUUAUUAACUUAACAUCUAUCCUCAUUAGCAUUAUUAUACCAUCAACUAACCCAACUCUCAACACCUACUUAAUAUUAUAUAUAAAGGUAGGACUCGCUUGCUUAUCUUUUUCUUAUUUUAUUUCUUUUCUUUCUUGCACAAACCACACUCAUGGCUACAUUCCAUUUUAUUUUAUUUUUUUAAUACACACUUACAAAAAUCACACUGUACACACUCGCCAAGGAACCAAAAGCUUUUUUUUUUUAAACACCCAAAUUCUUUUCUUUUUUUUCUUUUAUGUUGUCACAUAGGUACCCAUCCCAAAUCCAUAAAUCCUUUUUUUCUUUUUCUCAAUACCCUAAGUAUAUAUAUAUAUAUAUAUAUAUAUAUAUAUAUAUAUAUAUAUAUAAGAUAUAUUAUUUAUUUAUUAUUGUUUUAGAUUUACUAAAAAAAUAUUGAGAAUUUCCAAUCUCUAUCAAUAAAUCAACAUUUAUUCAUAAAUUUUCACUAUUUUUUAUUUAGAAUUUAAAUAAACAAAUUAUAUUCAAGAUUGAGAUUUUUUAAAGAAUAUUUAAGUGUUUAAAACUAAUUAACAAAUCUAAAAUACUAAUUUAAGGGUUAAAAUUCUACUUGAAAAACUAAUUUUCAAAUCCUAAACCUCCAAAUCUUCAAUCCUAUAUUGUCUUAUGUUUUUUUGAUCUUUUUCUAAUCUCAAUGUAAAAGGGUUUCUAUAUAAAGAAAUCAAAAAAAUCUAAUUUAUAUUUAAGGUUUUUAAUGCAAAAAGACCUUUCUAACCUUAUUAAAUUUAUUUAUUUUUUUCUUUUACUCUAAUUUAUGGUUUUACCCUUAACAAUAAAAUGGGGGGUGUUACAUAAGAAGCUUGUUAGAAAAAUUAGACUAAUCCAACCUAUGGUAAUCACCCUAAAGAGGGGGUGAAUAGGGUGAUAGUCUCUUUUUGCAAAUUUAAACUAUGUGAAAGUAAGAGACAAUUAUAUGUAAGUAUAUAAUAAACAAUAUAAAGACAAUUGCAUAUAAAUUAAAAGAGUAGGGAAGAGAGAAUGCAAACACAAGAUUUUAUAGUGGUUCGGCGCAACCCGGCCUACAUCCACUCUCCUCUAGCUUCAAUCCAAAGCUUGAAGUUCCACUAAUUCAAGGCUUCCAAACCAAGCCUUCAAGUAAUAUAAUUGGACUAUGGUUCCAAUUUACCCUCUUGGACUUUUGGCUCCAAGCACCCUUUACACUUCUCAAGAGAUAUCCCACUCUUGAACAACCCCUCAAGUGAUACCACACACUUGAGAAACUUCCUCUCAAAGAUUUACAAAUAAAUGAUCUUAUAAAAUCUUAGUACAAAAACUUUAAACUCAAAUGAUAUAAGAAAACUAGAAUUGAAUGGUGCACUAAAGAUAUACAAAUUUUAGAACAAUGGUGCACUCAAAAAUACUCUUCCAAAGCUCAAAUAUAUUCAAGAAAGGUUUGGGAAGGUUAUGUUUCUUAAACAAUAAAGAUUGGAGCAUUUUUAUAGAAGAAAAAAGUCAAACUAGUCGUUGGGGGUUCGACCGAUUAACUAGCCGUUAGCAUUUAAUGUUGGCAGGUGACUGUUGGACCUCGACCAGACCUCAACCGGUUGAGGUUCAACCUUGACCGGUUGAACAACCGUUCUAGAAGAAAGAGAAAAUUUUUUGCACCAUCGACCGGUUGAGCUGGGGGUCGACCAGUUAUUGUUCAUACCCUUGACCGAUUGAAUUGGGGGUUGACCGAUUACUAUUCAUGCCCUUGAUCGGUUGAGAUAGGGGUCGACUGGUUACUGUUCAUCCGGUUUAACCGGUUGAGCCGUUUUUGGUUCAACAACCAAAUUUUUCAACUUAAAACCUUUUAAACAAGUUUGAAACAACAUUUGACACAAGGUUUUAGUUGAAAAUAUGAAAUCAAAACAAAAUAAUUCUUGGAUGAUUUCGGUGCAUAUGUAAAGAAUGUAAUGCAUGGAAAUCCUAGUGCACCAACAAUCUUAUAAAAAGAUCUUAUGAAACUUGGGUCUUAAAAAACACUUCUCUUUGAGGUGGUCUUCUUCUUCAUGAUUUUUCUUUGGCUUGAUUUGUCUUUAUGAUUGCCACUUUGGAAAUCGUCUUACUUAAUUACACUUGAAAUAUAAUCAUUAGUUCUAAACUUUGUUUUGUUAUCAUCAAAACCGAGAUUGACCGAAUCUUGAUUUCACAAAGCCUAAUAAUAUUUUAAAUAAUUUGAAAGUAAAAAAUCGUGCUAGAACCAAAAAUUGUUUGAAAAUGAGUACAUCAAUUUCUCACCUAUGCACAUUCUUUUUAAAAUUUUCUUAUUAUGUGAAUGAGUUUCAAAUAAAAUGAUAUUUAAUGCACUGGAUUGGUUAGCAAGUCUAAUGAUUUUUUUUUAAUUAAUUUAGAACUUAAAAAUGGGCUCAAUUAAUUUCAAAAUUUCAACCAAAAUAGUUAAAAAUAUCCCAAAUGUAUGUGUAUUAAAAGAAACUAAAUUAUUCAUAUAACUAGAAAGAGUAAAUUCAUAACUUAUUUAAAAAUAAUAUUAACUAUUAACAUUUUCUAAAAAUAUUAUUAUUCAUUUAAAAUAUAUAUAUAUAUACUUGACAUUAUUAAAAUAUCAGCAUUCAUAUUUUAUAAUAUCCACUAUAUAAUUCUAUUUUUUUUUAAAUAUAUAUGAUUUUUAUUUUUAUUAUAAUGUUAGUUUCAUAUUUUAUGAAUAUUAUCUGUGUAUUAUUUAUUUAUUUCAUAUUGAUCACUUAGAAUUUAUAUGAUAUUGAUAUUCAUUUUAAAAUAAAUUUAGGUUUAUGUGGCUAUUUUUAAAAUACUAUAAUUCAUUAUUAGAAAGUUUAAUAUAUUAUUAGUUAUUUUUUUAUAGAAAAUGUGUUUUAAAAAAAUGUUUAAUAAAUAAAUAAAUAAAUAACCAUUUAGCAAGAGGGGUUUGUAUAGUGGGUGAGAAAAAUGAAAUAAAAUCCAUGACGCUAGGAGAUCUUUUUCAUCGCAAUGAAUCUAUUAUAUAAAGGAAAAAUGUGAAUGAACCAUUUGCCAUGUUAAUUUUUUUGAAAUAGUGUAAGGAAACAUAUUUUGGUUGUUACAUGUUUUCCAUAAGAAAAGUAUGUUUGGAAACUUUCAAAUUUUUUUUUAAUAAUAAUAAUAAUUUUUAUUUACAGUACUUUAUUUAUUUAUUUUUAUUUUUCAUAUUUAUAUAAUUAUUUUUUAAAACAAAUAAAAAUAAUUAAAAUAUGUUCUUAAAAAACUCUAUUUUUUAAAUAAGUUCUCAAAAAUAAUAUUUUAUAUUAAAAAUAAUAUUUUCUAACUGACAAGAAAAUUCCAAACUUAUUCGUAAGAAAUGUGGUUCAUGAUUGGUUGGUGGUUAGUCACUAUCCAUUUAAUUCAUAGAAUUAAACGUUUAUACACCUCAUCUACCAACAACGGUUGUAUCCUCAUCGUGUCAUGUGCAUACCAUUUAAAAUUCUCAAAUAGAAAAAUGAAAUGAAAAUUAAUAUAAUUUUGAUUUAUUAAUAUAUUUGGAUUAAUUGUUUUAUAGAAUGAGAAUAUGAAUAAAAAAUUUAUUAGUAUAGAAAUCAAAUUCCACUCUUAUGAGGAUUUUGAUUCAUUUAUACUAUGUCAUAGUGUUUUACCUUACGCUUGGGUUGAAUAGUAUAUAAUAUCCAUAUCUUAGAAUAUCAUAUCCCCUCCUUAUUCAACUUAUUUGCAAGAUUUGUAUUUGUCAUUCAAAAGUCAUCUUUUAACACGACAAUUAAUACAAAGCUAUUAUGUAGUCAUAUAUUUAUCACUUUUUUUUUUAUGUUGAUAGUGAAUUUAACUUUUUACGGUUGUAUCUUAUUUUUAUAUAAUUAUAUUAUAUUUAUUUUAUUUUUUAUAUUAAUUUUUAAAUGUGACUCACAAUUGGUUGGAGGGUUAGAGACUUCAUAAUAUUAGAAAAACAAGUUACAUCCUCAUCCUAUUGACAUGGUAACAACGUGUAAAUCUUUUUGUCUAUCACUCAAAAACCACAUUUUAGUGAGGCAACCUAUACAAAACCAUUGCGUAGUUAUAUAUUUGUCUCAACUUUUCUUUAAGUUGACAAUGAAUUUAAUUUUUUGCACAAAUAUCUUAUUUUUAUAUAAUUGUACUCCAUUUAUUCUUUUAUAUUAAUUUUCAAAUGUGGCUGAUAAUUGGUUGGUGGUUUAGUUAUUAUCAAUGGUUUAAACUAAUCCAAUUAUUGACUAGUGACCUUUUCGAUCCAAUUCACACCUUUAAGUCGUUUUAUCAUUGAAUUUAUAUUACUCAAAAACAAGUUACAUCCUCAUCCAGCUAACAUGCUAAUGACAUUUCAAGCUUUUCAUCAGUAACUCAAAAGCUAGAUUUUAGUAGGAGAGCCAAUAGAAAGCCAUUUUAUUGUCAUAUAUUCGUUUCAAUUUUUAUUUUUUAUAUUGACAAUGAAUUUAAGGUUUUUUUUUUUUGCCCUUUUAAUAUAUAUAUAUAUAUAUUCCAUUUCUCUCUUUCAUAUUAAUUUCCAAAUGUGAUCUGGUUGGUGGGUUAGUCAUUGUCUAUUAAAUUCAUAUCACCCACCAAAUUUAGUUGCAUCCUUAUUAGGCUAACGUGUCAAUAACAUGCUAACAACAUUUAAAAAUUUUCAGUAAGACAAUGAAUACAAAGUCAUCAUGUGUCAUACAUCUGUCUCAAUAUUUUUACAUUUUUUUUUUUUUGCACUUAUAUCUUAUUUUUAUAUUAUUAUAUUUCGUUUCUCUUUUUUGUAUUAAUUCUUAAAUGUGACCGAUAAUUGGUUGGUGGGUUAGUUGUUGUUCAUUGAAUUUAUAUCACCCAAAGAGCUAAGUUGCAUCCUCAUCUAUCUAACAUGCUAAUGACAUUUAAAACUUUUUAUUUGUUACUCAAAAGUCAUUUUUCUGUAAGACAACCAAUACGAAGCUAUCAUGUAAUCAUAUAUUCAUUUCAAAUUUUUUUAAUCUAUUUUUUAUUUUUGGUGUUGACAAUGAAUUUAAUUUGUUACACAUAUAUUAUUUUUAUAUAAUAAUAUUUCAUUUCCUUCUUAUAUAUUCAUUUUCAAUGAUGACCCAUAAUUGGUUGGUAGAUUAUUCAUUAUUCAUAUAAUUAAUAUCACUAAAAAAUAACUUGAAUCAUCAUCUAGUUCAUAUAUUAAACCACAUUUAUUAUUUACAUUUUUCAACCAAUUUAAUUUGUUGAUAAUAACGACGGUCCAAAUUUAUGAGAUAGUCUGUUGUUAAAAAAAUUUUAUUGGUAACGGAAAAUUCUCAUCGAUAGACUUUUGUCAACACAUUUUUCCCUAACUAUCAUGUAUUGAGAUUAUCCAUUGAUAAAUGUUUAUUCAGAUAGUAUAUAUUAAUGAAGAAAAGUAAAAAAUUUUGUAAUGUGUUAACAAUGAGUUUAAUUUUUUGCACUAAUUAAUAUUUUAUUUUUAUAUAGUUAUAUUUCAUUAAUUUUUUUUUAUAUUAAUUUUCAAAUGUGGAUAAUUUUUCGGUGGAUUAGUCAUUGUUCAUUGAAUUACAUCGGUUCCAACAUGGUAGAAGCCAACUAUAACAAAAGUUGUAUCAUCAAAUGAAGUUCAUUUAAACCAGUUUAUCUCAAUUCAAUUUAUCAUUAAGCCAGUCUAUUUUUGGGGUUUUGUUUUGUGUUGCACCAUAAUGCAAUUAAGUUGUUUGAUGAGAAGUCUAGCCAAAUUUGACAUCGGUUGACCCAUGCAAGUUGUAUGAUGAAAACCCAUCUAUUUGUACCAUGCAUGGAAAAAAAAACAUACAUGGCAUUAUUAAAUUUCAGACUAUAAUGUAAUGCCAUGAUCAAAAGGGUCGAAAAUACGAGAAUAAUUAAACUUAGGAAGUUAAAAUGAUAGCAAAAUUUUAAGCACAUUAAUGUGGUCUUCUUGAGCAGUAAAGCAAUUAUAGUAAUUAUUAAUCUUCAUCUAAUUAAUCAAGUAAAAUAAUUAUCAUUAAUUAUAAUAAUUCAUUUUUUUAUUGUGUAGAUAUUAUCUACUUUACUACGAAUGCGCAUCUACGGCUUUUUGUCUUAUUGAUGAGUUAGGUAAUGUUUGCUCACCCAUUUCAGCCCUUUGCAGUGCCUGUGUCCAUGCUUUUAAUGCUACGUCCGUAUUUCCAUUUAUCAGCUUAGGUUAGAUAAAAAAUGCAGAAGGUAAAAUCAGACAUAAUAGAAAUUAGGGGCUGUAUGUCAUAUAUUUGUGCGCGAAUUUGGGAUUGGGUUGAAGUAAAAAAGUCAAAAUGAAAUUACAAUAAGAGUACGGUAAAGGGUUAACGUUGGGACACCAGUACUGAUGUACACUUCAAGGAAGUAGGCCAUGGCAUGUCAUGCCACCUGGAACAAAAUAAGGGGUUCUACAGAUUCUCUUAUCGGAAUCAUUUGAGAUAUAGGAUGGAUGCAUAGAAGGGAAGGAGACGACUCCUCUAAAACUUGUGUUUGUGUGUAGGUGAGAAGUUGGGAUUCCCUGAUCAAUUAAACAUGGCUGAGGAGAGGGAUCCAGUAGAGUUGGGCAUGGCACUCGGCGCAGAUUCGAACAUGAAAGAAGACAGCGUAACAGCUAAGAAGAGGGCAAAACGGUGGGCAAUCACCGCAGAAGCGAGCAUGGAAAGAGAGAAGGGGAUGCUUGAUCAAGAUGAAGAUGACUUGUGUGUAGGUGAGAGGUUGGGAUUCUCCGAUCAAUCAGACAGGGCUAAGGAGAGGGAUCUAGUAGAGUUGGGCAUGGCACUCGGCGCAGAUCCAAACAUGAAAGAAGAUAAGGAAACAAGUAAGAAGUGGAGGGCAGAUUCGACACUGAUCAGCUCAGAUUCGACGAUGGAAGAAAACCCUGCACCGCCUGAGGUGUGGGUGCCAGAAACCUCGCCAAUCUUCGCAGAUACUAAGAUGGCAAUAGACAUCAGCUCAUAUUUCACAAUGAAAGAAUGCCGUGCAUCGCCGUGGGCGCGAGAAUCCAUCAUGUUAGGCAUGCCAAUCACCGCAGAAGCGAGCAUGGAAAGAGAGAAGGGGAUGCUUGAUGAAGAUGAAGAUGAAGAUGAAGAUGAAGAUGAUUUGUGUGUAGGCAUGCCAAUCUCCGCAGAUGCGAACAUGGAAAUAGACAGGGAAACGCAUCUUGUAAGAAAUAUAAGUGCUCCUUCCACACACGGACCCCACGCCCCCGCUGAUGAAGAUGAAGAUGCGGAGCAUAAGAAAUUAAUGGACCGCCGCAUGCACGCGCUAGCGACCCAAGGAAAUGUUGAUGGCUUUAUUAAAAUUUUAGGCUCGAUAUCCUCCGAACAGAACCCACUUCUCUGCCAAGUUAGUCCCCGGAAAAACACAUGCCUCCACAUAGCAGCAAGCUUUGGACACCAUGAUCUUGCCAAGUACAUCGUGAAAGAGUGUCCAGAUCUUAUAAAAAAUAAAAACUCCAAAGACGACACGGCACUUCAUAUUGCUGCUAGAAAAAGGAAUUUAUCUUUCGUUAAGAUUGUCAUGGAUUCAUGCCCUUCUGGAAGUGGCGCAUCCCAAGAUGUAGAGAAGGCUGAGCCUUCAUUGCUGGGAAUUGGUAACAAAGAAGGAAAUACAGUGUUGCAUGAGGCACUGAUAAACCGUUGCAAACAAGAAGAGGUGGUGGAGAUCCUUAUUAAGGCAGAUCCCCAAGUGGCUUAUUAUCCGAAUAAGGAGGGUAAGUCACCAUUGUAUCUAGCUGCAGAAUCACACUACUUCCAUGUCGUAGAGGCUAUAGGAAACUCUGAAGUUGAGGAGCGCAUGAAGAACAGAGACCGCAAAGCAGUCCAUGGUGCCAUUAUGGGAAAGAAUAAGGGUAUUUCCCGCCUCCUUCUCUCUCUCUCUCUAUUAAAUUUUCUUCUUCCUCUUCAAACUUAAAAAGCAUUGUUUGGCUUAAAUAAUAUGUUCCUUCUAACUAUAGAAGAAGUCUACUGGGCUUUUCUCAGCUUUUGCUUCAAUAUUCCUUGUUCCUAAAAAAUCAAUUUUUUUUAUUAAUUUAUGGGAGAUCCACACUCUUCUUUCCCAACCCAAACCCCGUCGUUGCAAAUAUUCUUCAUCUUUGUUUUCUGAAUCCUUUUUUGUCAUCUUCUUAUUCUUCUUCAAAACUCCACUCCUAAUUAAUUCUUUAUUUUCUUUUCUUUUCUAAAUCACAAAAAUUUAAAAUUAACUAUAAAAAAGAAUUGCAGUUGCAUAUGGCUUCAUUGUGUGCAUAUGGGAUGGUUUAAAUAGAGGGGGUAAAAAGGGCUGUAAGAGGGAAGAACAAUUGCCUGUAUAGUUUGGGGUUGACUUUAAGUGACCAUUUAAGAUUUGAUUUCGAGCUUAAGGUUAGAGUUAGGAUUUUUCUUUUCCCUUUUUUUUCUUUAUGUUUUAUGUUUCGUAUAGAUGCGAUGAAGUAGAAUGUAUCCUACACAUUUGAAAGAAACACAAAUUAUAAAUGAUGCAAUGAUGUUCUAUUUUUCCCCUUUUAACUAUUGCAAUAUUAGUAAGAGUAGGGAUGGGAAUGAGACAAGUUUUUACAGAAACCACCCCAUUGAGUUUGAGAUAAAUUUGAGAUUUUUUUUAAAAAAUUAAAUGGAGCCAGAUGGGGUGGGACAUGUAUGAGGACGUUUAAAUUUCUUUUAAUGAGAUGGGACCAAGAAAUAUUUUGAAUAAAUGAGAUCGGGGUUGGGAUAGAGGUAACCGUCCCAAGCCCACCCCAUUUCAAUUCCUAAUUAAGAGGAUGAUAAGGCAAAUAACAAAAUUUACAUAAUUUUUAAGAUCUAAAGAAGAACUUAUAAUUAAAGGAAGCUUUUAAAAGGAUGGGCACCCCAUGUGGUACAACCUCACACCAAAUUGAUACUGUUUUGUUGAAUUAUAGAUAAUAAAAUAAUCAAUUAAAAAAAACUCUCUUUUUUAUUUUUAUAUUAAUUUUUCCUUCCUUGUUUUAAUUAUCUAAUAAUUGAACCCUUUCCAAAAAAAAUAAAAAUAAAUAGCAAUAGUAGCAAUUACUAGUUUACUAUGAAUUUAUCUUAAUUUUAUUUUUUAUAUGUUCAUAUUUUUUAUGUAAUUUUAAUUAUUAAUGACUUGCACUCAUAUAAUAAUAUAUUUAUUAGAAAAAGGUUGUCAUAUAAAAUUUUUCUUAUAUAUGAUGACAAAAUGCCAGAUAUGUUGGAAAAAAUACUGACCAUGAAGCUCGGCCACCAAAAAGACAACCAUGGAAGGACUCCACUUCAUUGUGCAGCAUCCAUUGGAUAUCUCGAAGGAGUUCAAAUGCUGUUAGACCAAUCUAACUUGGAUCCAUAUCAAACGGACUCUGAUGGCUUCUGUCCCAUCCAUGUUGCAUCAAUGAGAGGCAAUGUGGACAUUGUCGACAAGUUGCUCCAGGUCUCCUCUGACUCAAUAGAGUUACUAAGCAAACGCGGUGAGAACAUUCUUCAUGUGGCAGCCAAGUAUGGUAAAGACAAUGUAGUCAAUUUUGUGCUCAAAGAAGAAAGGCUUGAGAACUUUAUAAAUGAGAAGGACAAUGUUGGAAACACGCCACUGCAUUUGGCAACCAAGCAUAGACAUCCCAAGGUCGUAAGCUCUUUAACAUGGGAUAAAAGAGUUGAUGUGAAUCUUGUGAAUGAUUUAGGCCAGACUGCUUUGGACAUUGUAUUAUCAGUGGAGCCUCCAACUACAUUUGACCAGGUAUAUCUAUAUGGUGAUUUGCAUCUUGUUUUCUAAAUGAUGGGUCCUAUUAGUAGUCUCACCCUUCAACUGCAUGCCAUGAGUAAGAAAUUAGAAUGCCUCAUCCAUGCAUUGUUACAGUGCUAUGGCAUUUUCCUUCUCAGAUGCAUGCAUGCAAUUAAAUUAUUAAAAGGAUCGAUCAGGACAACAUAGUUUGUUUUCCUUUCCUAGAAGGACCGACUAAUAUUAAUAAGAACUAGAUCAACACUUCAACUCAAGCCACUGACCCCUGGUUGAAGGUCAAUUUAAUUGAGCCCAUAAUAUCCUAAAAGUCAAGAAAAUUAUGGAGCCUAACUCAAUCACCAUCACCCUCACCAAGAUUAGAGCGACUCAACCAAGGUUAGGCUAGGUUUCUCUAGCAAGUGCAUAUACUCUUGAUGUCGGCAAAGACUUGUGGGAAUAAUUUUUUGCAUCAUACUAAAAAGUUUUCAGUGUAGAGAACUGCUAUAUCAUGUGCGCUUGUGGUUGCUCUCUUUGCUGCUUCACAUUGCUUAAUUUCAUACUUCUAGUGGGUGUUCAUUGAAUUUACAGGGAAAAGAGAAUGGCUUCCUAACAAAAUAUUACGAAAUUAUAGUCUACUUUUAGUUAUUAUUAGGACACAUACAUUUUAUGUUCUUUCUUUCUCACGAUUACAUUAACAGCAACAUCUUUUUCUGUACCACGCAGGCACUAAUUUGGACAACACUCAAAUCUGCUGGUGCACGACCAGCGGGAAAUUCAAAGUUCCCACCCAGUAGAUGUUGUAAACAGUAUUCUGAAUCACCUAAUACGGACAAGUACAAGGACAGGGUAAACACUCUUUUGUUGGUUUCGACCCUUGUUGCCACAGUGACAUUUGCUGCUGGUUUUACCAUGCCAGGUGGCUACAACAGCUCCGACCCAAAUGUCGGCAUGGCUGCCUUGCUGAUGAGAAAUAUGUUCCAUAUGUUCGUCAUCUGCAAUACCACUGCUAUGUAUACCUCCAUCCUCGCGGCAAUCAUCCUCAUCUGGGCACAGUUAGGUGAUCUCAAUUUGAUGGAUACUGCCCUCAGAUUUGCAUUGCCAUUCUUGGGGUUGGCCCUUACUGCGAUGUCCUUAGGCUUCAUGGCAGGUGUUUACCUGGUGGUCAGUAAUCUUCAUUGGCUUGCAAUUGUUGUCGUCAUUAUUGGAAUCAUCUGCCUUGUCGGUCUCCUAGUAUCCUUUUUUUUACUUUUCCUCCCAAGUAAGUCUACUAAUAGUAUCCUUAGGCACAUCUCCUAUUAUCCGUUUCUUAUAUUGGUAUGGGCAUCUAAAAGCCCCGAAAUGAAACGGGAAGAUUAGCUCGUCCUGUUGAUGAUGUCUGCUAGCUCCAUCUUCCCCUGUGUUUGUUGCUUCUUUCAGCAUUAUCUCGAUGACUUGGUAGACAAAGUAUGUUAUGUAUAAAUGCUUAGUGUGAUAUAUUGAUGGUGUUGUACAUGACCAUUUCUUAUAUAAAUCUAUGGUUUUUGGAUCUAUAAUUAGGUAGUUCUAUAUAUAUUUCAAUAAAUACUCCAUUCAUACAUAAAUAACGUGAAUUUGUUAUUAAUAGGUUCAGUUUAAUUUAUUGAUUGAAAUUUGAAUUUUCAAUUGUAUUUUUUAAACUUUCUUAAUUAUUAUUCUUAUGAGAAUUUUGGGUAAAGUUUUGUUUUCAAAUCCGGGUUACAUCUUCUACGCUAGGAUUCAUUGGGAAGGGGAAAAGCUUUUAAUUUUGGAAAAAAAAAAAAAAAAUUGGCUUUUGAGUUCCAAAGUAUUUUUAAAAAUUAAGGAGUUUAAUAAUUUUUUUAAAAUAAUUUAAAAAUAAAAUAUCGAGGGAGUUAACACUAGAACCAAAAAUUGGUUGAAAAAGACUAUAUUAAUCUCUAGUUUAUGCACAAUUAUAUUUUUCAUUAUAUUUUAUUAUAUUAUUAAUAUUCAUAUUUUAUUAAAAAUUAUUUAGUUUGAAUUUAUUUAUAAUUAAAAAAUUCUUUUUAUUUUUAAUAAGACACAAAUUAAAUUUAACUUAUAUUAUAUAAAUUAAAUUUAUAAUUUGUGAUUUUUACAAAAUAAAAAUAAAAAUUAUUUUUAGAAACAACUAAUUUAAUUCUUAUAAUCAUUUAAGUUAUCUAAAUAUAGAAAUAAAUGAGAAAAUAAUGGAGAUCUUCAUUUCCAUUCCUGUUUUCCGCGUAGCAAACAGUCCCUCAUCUUAAUUAAUAACAUAACAUGAAUUAUAUAUUUGAUGGACGGUAAAAUCAACCCUUUGUUUGGUAACUCAUAUUGUAGUAAACCCUAAGUUGAGUUUGAUGAUAGUCGGACGUAUUGACGACGGAUUUGACGGACAUAACGUUCAAACCCGCUCAAAGACUCAAACCCACAGAACUUCACAACUGAUUAAAAUAAUUUUAUAAACCAAAAUGAUCAAACUUUGUAGUUUCUGGGAUUGGUGUUGAUGCUUCCAAAUAGGUUCCAAGAUGUUCCCAGUGAGUUUGGAAAAGAGAGAAGUGGAUUCCUUGAGCUUCUCAAAACAUUUUCUUAGAAAAUGUCAAACGCUUGGUCUCAAAAUCUAACCCGUAUGAUUCAAACACACCCAUGAAGACUUUUCUUUUGAAUAUUUCAAACUCCAGCAAACGAGUAAGAUAUUUGAGUUGCCGUGCUUCAUAUCCAUUCCGUGUCUGCUGGAAGUCCUAUGUGAUGUAAGUUGGACUAUCAAAUGAAUUUCUUUUGAGUAUCAAAUUUUUUAUUCAACUUAUCAUAUGUAUGUAAUGCAUAGGUUCUUCUCUCACAUAUUGACUUGGCCCUUACUUCCAUCCCAAGCAAGAGAGUGCAGGUAUCUCAUGGCCGGCAGUGGACUAAUGAUAUAUGAACUCAUUUUAAAUUGGGUCUGACUAACUUGGCCACAGGGGUUGUUACCUUGAAAGGACUUGAGUGGGGUUCAUGUUUAAGGUGGUGUUUGUUUUUUUGGUUUUUUGCUGAAAGUAAUUUAAUUUUAGAAUUUAAGUCGUUUGUUUUUCUAAUUUUUCAUAACUUAUUAUAAACUUUUUACUAAAUAAAAAAAAUUAAAAUAUGUAGCUUUUUUUAAAUAGAAAAAAUAACAUAUUAGUUUUUUUUACUUUUUAAUACUUGAUAGAAAUAAAAUAUUACAAAAACAAAUAACCUAAUAUUUAACAUUAUUAAGUAUUAAGGUUCUAUUUAGAAUUAAGUAAAAAAACAAACACCACCUGAGUCUUUCUUUUUUAAUCUAGGUAUGUACUGUGUGUGCUCUCUUCUUGUUUUAGUCGAAUUCAAAGAAUAGUUGUUUCUUCCUAGUCUUGGUAAGUGGUUGCUUAAGGGUAGCAUAUUAAGAUUUUUAUUAUUUUUAUUUUCUGUUUUUGACUUAGUGCCUUCUCAAGAUUUUGAAUUGUCAAAAAAGCUGGUUAUAUUGUAUAAACAAUCAUCAUAGUAUUAGAAUUAGCAUAUAUAAUUUGGUAUUGAUGUGCAUGUUCUCUUCCUCUGUAUGACCUAUCCUUUGCGAUGAAGUAUUGGACUGGUUUCUUUGUUGCCAUUAUUUCUUUUUUCUUUUAAACUUCUUAAACCAACAUAAAUACAAGCACAGCUAACGGAUUUGAUUAGGCAAGUCAACUACAAUAGGAGAUAUUAUGAGACAAGACGAUUUAAUGAUGAAUUUUGAGAGGCUAAGAAAGCAGGGGAGGGGAGAAAGAUGGAAGACAGGGAAACAAAGGCAAAAACAACCCAAGAAGCAAGCCAUCUUGGCAAUCUCUGAGCAUAAGGAUGCCAAAUUGUUGGAGGACUAUGUGACAGCUAGUUCCAUGGAUCCUGAUUUGUACAGACCUACGAUACAAGGAGACAUUCUUGAAUUCAUAAAAGCCGUGGAACAAGGACCAGACAAUAGACACGCUGGUGUACCUGCUGCAUCUUGUAUCCAAGUGACCCCUCAGAAGAACACAGUUCUUCACCUAGCAACGAUCUUUGGACAUGACGAGAUUGUGAAACUCAUUUGUAAGGACUUGCCCUUUCUUGUCAUGGAAAGAAAUUGCAGAGGUGACACUGCACUUCACAUUGCAGCCAGAGCUGGCAAUUCACUGCUAGUGAAUUUGUUGAUUAAUUCAACAGAGGGGGUUUUGGGUGUGAAGAAUGAGACGGGUAAUACCGCAUUGCAUAAGGCAUUGCAACAUCGUCAUGAAGAGGUGGCCUGGAAUAUAAUUAACAAAGACAGAAAUAUGUCUUGUUCUGUCAAUAAGGAAGGAAAAUCUUUGUCGUAUUUGGCCGCAGAAGCAGGAUAUGCAAAUCUUGUUAGGUUUAUAAUGGAAAAUCCUGCAGGAAACUACAGCAUUGAAGGAGAGCUCGAGAACAAACCAUCUGUGAAAGCUGCCAUUCUUGGGAAGAACAUAGGUAAAUGAAAUUCUCUCCUCUAAUCUCCCUUUUUUUUCCCUUAAUUGGUAUGCUUGUCUUUCAAUUUCAGACUUCCAAGAGCCUGCACUUGGAUUGGAAAUUUUUAAGUGACUGCACUUUCACACUUAGUUUUUUCCUACAAAAAGCCCUGCAACUACUAUAAACCACCCAAUUCUCUGCACCUGUGAAUCAGAAAACUUUACCCAAACUAUAUUGCAUCCAAUUGUCACCAUUAAAAGGUAAUGAUAUCAUGGCACAUAAGAGCAUUCCCAUUUUUCUGGAAGUUGGAAGACCUCAAUUAUUUCUUGCUUAAUUAAUUGGUGAUAUUCCUGUGCUUCCAUGUUUGAAUUAGUGUGUCCAUUGUAAUCUCCUUCCAUGGAUUUCCUUAGGUGUGGCCACCCAUCAAGAAGAGAUCAGGAAUAGUCCAGAAAUAUUACUGUCUUAUUCUAAUUACAUGAGUAUCUAGCAGUAAAGAAAUAUAUCUGUAGUAGCUGAUUUUUUUAGAUGGGUCCUCUAGUAGCCGAUCGACCUUUUUUCUUUACAAGAAGGCUUCUAUUGUGACUUGUGAAGACAAUGAUAAAUUGACAAUAUUUCUAAUUAUCAUUUGGAUUUAGGAGCAUAUUUUACCAUAUAUUUUGUUCUCACGCGUGGCAAGAUUUUCAUUUAAUGUGUUAUCAUCAGUCCUGUGAGCACCAAAAAAUUCGCUUAAAUAUGGUUCACACUUCUUUGUUUGUUUGUUUCCAUUUUUUUGUUUUGGGCGACGUUAGAUGUUCUCAAGAUAACGUGGGAAAGAGAUCAAUCAUCCUUCAAUUUAAGAUGUGAAGAAGGGAGGAACCCUCUUCACUAUGCAGCAUCUAUUGGUUUUGUUGAAGGAAUCAAUUACUUUGUAGACAAAUACUGUAUCGCUGCUUACCAAGGGGACAAAGAUGACCUCUCUCCUAUUCAUAUAGCAGCCAUCAAAGGUCAUUUCCACAUAAUUCAAGAGAUGCUUCAGCAUUGCCCAGAUUUGAUGGAGCUGCUCACUUGCAAAGGCCAGAAUACCCUUCAUGUCGCAGCAAAGAGUGGAAGAGCUGAAGCAGUUAGUUAUAUGCUUAAAAAAAUGCCGGAGCUUGAGAAGCUUAUAAAUGAGAAAGAUAAGGAUGGAAACACACCUUUACAUUUAGCCACUAUUUUUGAGCAUCCAAAGGUCGUAAGAGCUCUAACAUGGGAUAAGAGAGUUAACCUAAAGGCAGAGAACAAUGGAAGGUUGACAGCACUUGACAUUGCUGAUGAGUACAUGGACACAAUGGUUUCUUUUCGCAAGGUGUGCUUUACAAACUAUUUGUUAGGGGCUAAUCAUCUCAUUUUACUUGUUUAUAUUUAUCAUAUUAUUUGAAAACAACAAACGUUUUUUUAAAGAAUAUAAACUUUUAAAUUAUGUCUUCCCUAAACAAAAACUUGGUCAUUUCUUAAUUUGUUCGAGAAUCAAGGUUUAUUUUCUAUUCUUGUGGGCUAGUGAAUUGUUUUUUUUAAGUGUUAAGUGUUACAAUAAUCCCACAUCAGAAGUUGGAGAGAAAAAAACACCCCCUUACGCAGCGUGCAAAUCGAUCAAGAUCAAGGCAAAAAGAGUAUAUAAUUUUGACAUUAAAUCCAAAAUUGAAAAAGGGCUCACGUGGCAAAAGUUCAAUAGUGAAAAAAAUGAAGCUAAGAAUAAAAGUAAAUAAAAGUUAAAGCUAAUAAGGUAAGCACAAUUCAUAGAGUAUUGAAGAAAAUGAAAGUAAGAAUAAAGGUAAUCGAAAGUUAAAACCAACAAGGUAAGCACAAUCCAUGGAGUAUAGAAGAAAAUGAAGUUAAGAAUAAGGGUAAUUGAAAGUCAAAUCAUAACAUCUUUUAUUAACUUAGACAUUUACUUGACCAAAGCAAAAGCCAUUAGAUGCUUGUCUUGUAAUGCAAUCUUGCCCUUGGUUCAAUUCACAGCCUUAAAUGAUUCACUGUCAUCCAAUAGAUGGAAAUGGUGAUCUUAAUCGGUUUUUAAAAAUAAAUAAUUGUUUUUGUAUAAUUAAAAAUUAAUUAGGAUUAAAGAUUAAAAAAUAAGACUAAAGUUUAAAUUUUGUUUGAAUUUUAAAAUUUAGAAAUAUUAAAAAUUUAGAAAUUUAAAAAUAAAAAAAUGUAAAAUCAGAAAGGAUUGAAAUUAGGAUCUGUAUAUGAUAUAUUUGUGCGUCGGUAUAGAAGAUUGGGAUUUUGGGAUUGGAUUGAAGUAGAAAAUUCAAAAUGAAAUUACAAUAAGAAUACGGUAAAGGGAUAACGUUGGGACACCACUACUGGUGUACACUUCCAAGGCUGGAGGUAAAAGAAGGCCAUGCCAUGUCAUGCCACCUGGAACAAAAUAAGAGGUUCUACAGAUUCUCUUAUCGGAAUCAUUUGAAAUAUAGGAUGGAUGCAUGGAAGAAAAGGAGACUCCUCUAAAACUUGUGUAAACUUGUGUUUGUGUGUAGGUGAGAGGUUGGGACUCUCCGAUCAAUAAGGAACUCGGAGCAGAUUCGAACAAGGAAGAAGGCGGGGAAGGGCAGAUGGCACCACGCAUGACAUUCUCCGCAGAUGUGGACAUGGAUAGAGAUAGAAGUGCUCCUUACAGCUAUAAACACAUUGUCCCUGCAAUCUCCGCAGAUAGAAGUGCUCCUUCCACACAUGUGGGCAUGGCUAGAGAUAGAAGUGCUCCUUCCACACAUGUGGGCAUGGCUAGAGAUAGAAGUGCUCCUUCCACACAUGUGGGCAUGGCUAGAGAUAGAAGUGCUCCUUCCACACAUGAACUCUACGCCCCUGCUCCGGAGGAGAGGCUAGCAUCCUUUAUACGCUUCGCAUUCUUAGUAUAUAGGGAAAUUGAAGAAAAUGAGAAGAUGCUUCAUCAAGGAAGUGGAAGUGCUCCUCCCACACAAGAAGUCGUCGCUCCCGCCGAUGAAGAUGAAGAUGUGGAGCAGGAUAGAUUAAUGGACAGCCGCAUGUACAUGCAGGCGACCCGAGGACGUGUUGAUGAAUUUAUUCAAAUUUUAGAAUCGAUAUCCUCUGAAAAGGAACUUCAAAGCUCAGAAAUCCUCUCCCAAGUUAGCCCCCGGAACAACACAUGCCUCCACAUAGCAGUAAGAUUUGGACACCAUGAGCAUGCCGAGUACAUCGUGAAAGAGUGUCCAGACCUUAUCAAAAAGACAAACUCCACAGGCGACACUGCACUUCAUAUUGCUGCUAGAAAAAAGGAUUUAUCUUUCGUUAAGUUUGCCAUGGAUUCAUGUCCUUCUGGAAGUGGCGCAUCCCGAGAUGUAGAGAAGGCUGAGCAUCCAUUGCUGAUAAUUGUUAACAAAGAAGGAAAUACAGUGUUGCAUGAGGCACUGAUAAACCGUUGCAAACAAGAAGAGGUGGUGGAGAUCCUUAUUAAGGCAGAUCCCCAAGUGGCUUAUUAUCCGAAUAAGGAGGGAAAGUCGCUAUUGUUUCUAGCUGCAGAAGCACACUACUUCCAUGUCGUCGAGGCUAUAGGAAAACCUAAAGUUGAGAAGCACAAGAACAUUAACAGAGACCGCGAAGCCAAGUCGGCAGUCCAUGGUGCCAUUCUGGGAAAGAAUAAAGGUAUGACCCGCCCCAUUCUCAAUCUCCAUUUAAUUCUCCUGCUCUUCUUCUUCUUCUUCAAACCUAAAAAACACCAUUUCCAAUAAAAUCUUAAACCUAUAUUUGAUUCUCAUAGUUGAAAAAAAAAUUAUUAAGGGAAGUGAUUUUCUAAUAUGCUGUUGUACCAUGAAAAACAUGAAAGAAAGUGAAAUAUAAUUAAAAUUAAUAAGAAAUUUAUAUCAUUUAAAAUUAUUUAAUUUUUAUAUAAAAUAGUUAAAUAAGUAAAAUGAAUUUAAAGUAAUAUAUAAAAAUAAUUUAUUAACUUAAAUUUUUUUUCUCUCUUUUUUUAAUUUUUCUUCUUUAUUUUCUGUUUUCACAUAUUCCCUCAAACUUUCGGACCAAACAUAACCUAAAUGAUCACUUGAAGUCAAUCCCAAACUAUCCAAACAAUUCUUCUUUCUUUGCUCUUUUUCUUAUAGCCCUUUUUGCCUCCCCUUUAUUUAAACCAGCCAAUAUGCACGCAACAAAGCCACAACAGCAAAUUUUCUUUAGUUAAUUUUAAAAUUUUGUGAUUUAGAAAAGAAAAUUAAGAAUUAGGAGCUAGUGGGGUUUUGAAGAAGAAUAAGAAGAUGACAAACUAGGAUUAGGAUUUUGAAAACAAAGAUGAAGAAUAUUAUUUACAAGGACGGGUUUGGGCCGGGAAGAGGAGUUAUAAACAUUAUUGAUCUCCCAUAAAUUAAUAAAAAUUUUAAUUUUUUAGGAACGAGGAAUAUCGAAGCAAAAGCUGAAAAAAAAAAAAAAAAAAGCCAAUUUACUUUUUCUAUAAUUAGUUCAACAGAAAAACAUAAAUGUGUUCUCAUUUUAAUUUCUUUUAUAUAUGAUGAAAAAAUGCCAGAGAUGUUGGAAAAAAUACUAGCCCUGAAGAUCGUCCACCAAAGAGAUGAACAUGGAAGGACUCCACUUCAUUAUGCGGCAUCGAUUGGAUACCUUGAAGGAGUUCAAACGCUGUUAGCUAAAGACCAAUCUAACUUCGAUCGAUAUCAUAGGGACGACGAAGGCUUCUUACCCAUCCAUGUUGCAUCAAUGAGAGGCUAUGUAGACAUCGUCAAAGAGUUGCUCCAGGUCUCCUCUGACUCGAUAGAAUUGCUUAGCAAACACGGUGAGAACAUUCUUCAUGUGGCAGCCAAGUAUGGUAAAGAUAAUGUAGUCGAUUUUCUGCUGAAAAAAAAAGGGCACGAGAACCUUAUAAAUGAGAAGGACAAAGAAGGAAACACGCCACUGCAUUUGGCUACCACGUAUGCACAUCCUAAGGUCGUAAACUAUUUAACAUGGGAUAAAAGAGUUGAUGUGAAUCUUGUGAAUAAUGAAGGCCAGACUGCUUUCGACAUUGCUGUAUCAGUGGAGCAUCCAACUUCAUUGCACCAGGUAUAUAUGACGAUUUGCAUCUUGUUUUCUGAAUUAAGGGUACUACUAUUGGUUUCACCUUGAACUGCAUGCAUUGUUAAUGCUAUGGCAUUUUCCUUCUUAGAUGCAAGCAUGUGAAUUAUUAAAAGGAUCAAUCAGGACAACAUAGUUUGUAUUUCUUUCCUAGAAGGACCGACUGAUAUUAAUAAAACCUAGUUCAACUAAAAGAAGAUCAAUUUGAUCCCAUGAUAUCCUAAAAGUCAAGAAAAUUAUGGAGCCUAACUCAAUCACCAUCACCCUCGCCCAGAUUAGAGCGGCUCAACCAAGGUUAGGCUAGGUUUCUCCAGCAAGUGCAUAUACUCUUGAUGCCGGCAAAGACCUAUUGGAAUAAUUUUUUGCAUCAUACUAAAAGGUUUUCAGUGUAGAGAACUGCUAUAUCAUGUGCGCUUGUGGUUGCUCUCUUGCUGCUUCACGUUGCUUAAUUUCAUACUUCUUGUGGGUGUUCAUUGAAUUUAUAGGGAAAAGAGAAUGGCUACCCAACAAAAUAUUUCGAAACCCAACUCAUGGAAUUAUAGUCUACUUAUACUUUCUAUAGUUAUUAUUACGACGCAUACAUUUGAUUUUCUUUCUUUCUCACGAUUACAUUAACAGCAACAUUUUUAUCUCUACCACGCAGAGACUAAUUUGGACAGCACUCAAGUCUACUGGUGCACGACGAGCCGGAAAUUCAAAGGUCCCACCAAAACCGUCUAAAUCACCUAAUACGGACGAGUACAAGGACAGGGUAAACACUCUUUUGUUGGUUUCGACCCUUGUUGCCACCGUGACAUUUGCUGCUGGUUUUACCGUGCCAGGAGGCUACAACAGCUCUGAUCCAAAUGCCGGCGUGGCUAUCUUUCUGAUGAGAAAUAUGUUCCAAAUGUUCGUCAUCUGCAAUACCAUUGCUAUGUAUACCUCCAUCCUCGCGGCAAUCAUCCUCAUCUGGGCACAGUUAGGUGAUCUCAAUUUGAUGGAUCCUGCCUUCAGAUUUGCAUUGCCAUUAUUGGGGCUGGCCCUUUAUGCAAUGUCCUUCGGCUUCAUGGCAGGUGUUUCCUUGGUGGUCAGUAAUCUUCAUUGGCUUGCAAUUGUUGUCUUCAUUAUUGGAAUCAUCUGCCUUGUCAGUCUCUCAGUACCCUUUCUUUUACUCUUCCUCCCAAGUAAGUCUACUAAUCGUAUCCUUAGGUACAUCUCCUAUUAUCCGUUCCUUUUACUGGUAUGGGCAUCUGAAAGCCCCAAAAUCAAACAGGAAGAUUAGCUCGCCCUGUUGAUGAUGUAUGCUAGCUCCAUCUUCUCCUAUGUUUGUUGCUUCUUUCAGCAUUAUCUCAAUGACUUGGUAGACAAAGCAUGUUAUGAAUAAAUGCUUAGUGUGAUCAGGACUUCAAUAUAUUGGUGGUGUUGUACAUGAUCAUUUGUCAUAUAUAUCUGUAGUUUCUGGAGCUGUAAUAUGUGAAAUACUCUAUAAAUACUCCAUUCAUCCAUACUGAUCAAUGCAUAUUUGUCUUUGCUUUUUUAGAAAAGAAAAAAAGAAAAAAUAAAUCUUGGAAAUCCCAAAAUGAUUAAUUUGUGAAAUAUCAUUAUUUAACAAAAUAAAAAAAACACAUGAAUAUAUAAACCCCACUACAUCAUUUUCUUUGAAAUACCCUGUCGCGGUUGGUGAAAUAGAAGGGAGAAUUAUGUUUUGGGUCUGGCCCGAAAAUUGACUAAAAUUUCACAUAUUAUACACAUUUAAACCCAAGACCCAAAUAAAGUGUAAAAAUUAAGUUAAAGGAUAUUCUUAACCCCUACAUAGGCACACAGUGAAUGUAAAUUUCAAUUUUUUUUUUCCCUUUUCUAUUCCCAAUUAAGUAUUACUCACUUUUAACUUUUGUUCUUUUUUUAAAGAUAUUGAAUCUUUUUACUCAAGGAUAAAAAAGUUUCAUAUAAAAUUUAAUUUUUUUUAUUAUUUUCAUAUAAAAAAUAGUAUUAAACAAGGUUUUCAAUUUUUAUUUUUAAAAAUAGUUUUCAUUUUUUAAUUAAAUAUUUUUUCAAAAAUAAAAUAUAAAAAAUAUAAAUCAUAUUACCAUUUUUUUAGAAAGUAUUUUUUUAAAUAGUUUUUGAAAGUAAUUUGUCUUUAUUUAUAAUUUAAAAUAGAAAAUAAUGUUGAUUUUCACUUAUUUAUAAAAGAACGUUUUUAAAAAAAUGAAAAAUCUAAAUUAUUAAAAUAUAAUUAUUAUGGUUGCAUGAAUACUGGUGCAAUAAAGACCAAAAAAGUUUAUGUGAAAGGUCAACCCUAGUUUUAGAGUUUGGACUCGUAAAAACUCAAAAUUACUCAAAAUUCAUCUAGGAAUAGCCAAAGUUGAUGAUCUUGUUUCUAUAUAGAGCAAGUGAUGAUUGAGAACCAUCUACCUAGUCUAUCUAAUUAGUUAUGUGAUGCAAGGUGAAAAACCUUCUUUUAUUUCAUAACAUGAUUCUAUUUUAUAGACCAUAAAAUCAAUUCUUUGUUUGGUAACUCAUAUUGUAGUAAACCUUAAGAACCUAAAUCCCCCAUGUGUUUGACAUAAAUUGGGAAUUUUUGUUGUAAUAUGUGAGUCAUAUUGGGAGAAAGAUAUAUACGGAGAAAAAUAGGCCAAUGUCAAAGUGGAGCGGAGUGGAACGAUAGCAUUUGUCAUUUAAAUUUGUAUUUUUAUUAUUAAGGGUGAAUGAGAAGUUGGGGGGUGUGAGGGGACAACACCUCCUGUGGUAUGGUUUAGGGGUAUUUUUUAAAUUUUAUUACUUAAGAGUUAAUAUAAAUGUUUUUUUAUAUAACCUUAAUUUGACAUAUAGUGAAUUCUUCCCUAUUCUCAUAAACGUAGACAAUCCGUCGUUAAAUUUAUGCGUCUUUUUGUUUUUCUCUAAUUUCUUCAGCAAGAAUCGUUGCACGAAUAUCAACAAUUUUGAACCUAAUCUUAAGUUGAGUUUGAUCCUAGUCGGACGUAUUGAUGAUGGAUUUGACGAAGAUUACUUUCAAACCCGCUCAAAGACUCAAACCGACCUAACUUUGAAUUGGUUAAAAUAAUUUUAUAAAGUGAAAUGAUUAAACUUCUUACUUUUUGGCAUUGGUGUUUGUGCUUCCAAAUAGUUUUCCAGAUGUUCCCAAUGAGUUUGGAGAAGAGUGUUAGGAUUUCCUAUAAUUAUGCAGAAUAAUUAUAAGCCUAAUUCUUGCAAAACAAUCAUAACCCUAGUUUUAGAACUUUGUGAUUUUCAUAAAGUAAAUAAAUAAUAAAAAGAAUAGUCAUUAAAUUCUAACUUUUAAACAAUGUUCAGAAAAAUAAAGUUAACACCAAAAAUCCUAAUAAUAUCAAAAUCUCAUCCUAAUUAUCAUUCAUAGUUUGAACAGAGGGUGUCUAAAAAAUUGUUAAUGAAGGGAAAUGAGCUUAAAACCCAAUAGAAAAUAUUAAUACAGCUUCACAGAUAAUUUUUUUUUUAAUAAAGAUUAUAAAUAGAAAAUAUAAUGUAUAAUCCUUUUUAUAAAAACUUUUUAGUUUAAACAUGUUAAUACAUUCAAACUUUUUAACAAAACAUUUUUAUAUUAAUGUCAAAACAAUUUUAUAUUAAAUUCAAAUAAAAUAUAUUCAAAAUAUUUUUAUUCUGGUUAUCAAAUAUCAAAUGGUGCUCAAUUAUGUGAGACUUUACAAAUGGGUGGUUAGCCUCAAAUUUGUUUCUUUUACGACGAACCAAAUACUACUAAUACUAGUAAUCUCUAACCAAACCUCUAGAGAUUGGGGUUCAAAUAAAUUACAUUCUUCACUAUAAAAUGUAAAUGUCAACUAUUAUAUCUCAUUAAUAUGGGUUAAAAAGUCAACUAUUAUAUUCAGUAGAUAAGGGCCAAAAAGUCCGAAUAUUAAAUCCUGUUACCUAUGGCCGGCUAAAAAAACCAAAGUCAAACACUUUAUUUUAUUUAUUCAAAUUUAUAAAAACAUAAUAUUUUCACAUGUUUAUGUUAUAAACAAAAAAAAAAUUUAAUAUAUUUUUUAUGCAAAAUAUAUUUGAUUUAUGCAUAAAAACAAAAAUAACAUUUUACACAUUUUAAAAUAACAUGUCAAAAGAAAAUUUUUUUUUUUUUUUACAAAAUCUGCAUUAAUUUCCCUUACGUCGAAAAAAAACUUAGAAUCCUUGAAGAAUUUAAUUAUGUAUAAACAACUUUUCAUCUAAUAAUAUAAGAAAAACAAUUAUAUAUUACUAUUAACUAUUUGUCUAAAAUUAAUUAUAAGUUUGAUAAUCGUAAAAAUUUAUAUAUUAAUAUUAAUAUUUAUAAGUAUCAAUGAUAAUUUAAUUAUUUUAUUCCUUGUUUAAGUAAAAUUAAUAAAUUUCUAAUUUAUAUAAAACUUUUUUCUCUAGUUUGAUUCUAAAAAAUAAAAAUACAUUACUAAUUUAAUUAAACUACAAUUUUUAUUUCAUUAAUUAAAUUUUAUUUAUUUAUUAACUUAACAUCUAUCCUCAUUAGCAUUAUUAUACCAUCAACCAACCUUGUAAUUCACCCAACUCUCAACACCUAAUUAAUAUUCAUAUAUAUUUUCCUCAUUCUCCCAAUAAAGGUAGGUAGGACUCGCUUAAUUAUCUUUUUCUUAUUUUAUUUCUUUUCUUUCUUGCACAAACCACACACUCAUGGCUACAUUCUUUUUUUUUUUUUCCUACAAACUUCCAAAAAUCACACUGUACACACUCGCCAAGGAACUAAAAGCUAAUUUUUAUUUUUUUUAAACACCCAAAUUCUUUUUCUUUUUUUCUUUUUUUCUUUUAUAUAUGUUGUCAAUACCACCCCAAAUCCAUAAAUCCUUUUUCUCUUUUUCUAAUACCCUAAGCAUAUAAUAUAUAUAUAUAUAUAUAUAUUGAAGAUUUAAGAUAUAUUAUUUAUUUAUUAUUGUUUUAGAUCUACUAAAAAAAUAUUCAGAAUUUCCUAUCUAUAUCAAUAAAUCAACAUUUAUUCAUAAAUUUUCACUCUUUUUAUUUAGAAUUUAAAUAAACAAAUUAUAUUCUAGAUUGAGAUUUUUAAAGAAUAUUUAAGUGUUUAAAACUAAUUAACAAAUAUAAAAUACUAAUUAAAAUUCUACUUGGAAAACUAAUUUAAAACCCUAAACCUCCAAACCUUCAGUUCUAUAUUGUCUUCAAGGAUUGAAAUAUCGGUUUUUACGGAUAUAUCGGUACUUCAAUUUUACGGAUAUAUCGGAAAUAUCGGAGAAAUAUCGGUGGAUAUUUUUUCAUAAAUAUCGGUGGAGUGAAAAAUAUUUAAAAUUAAUAGGAAUGCUUGAAAAAACUUCAAAAAAUGAUAACAUAAGUAAGAAUACACAUUUUAAAGUUAUCUUGUAAGUGUAAUUGAUAUAUAUAUAAUUAAGAAGAAAAAUAUCAUAAAUAGAGAUAUAUUGGUAGAUUCGAUAUUUGAAUUUUAAAAAUAAUAUAUAUGAAUUUUGAAAGUGUAUAAAGUUAAAAUUGAGUUAAGAAAUAUGAGAUUGCAAUAGUCCUUAUACUAAGAAAGAUAUCGAUGUAGUUUCAAUAUAUUAUUAGAUGAAGGGAGUUCAUCUUGUUGAAGACAGUAUUUAUUUUAAAAAUUUUAAAAUAUUUUUAUUAAAACAUAUUUUAUUAUAUUUUAAAUGAAAAAUUAAAUUAAUUUAUAUAAAAUAUCUUAUUUGAGAUUUAAUUUUUAAAAUUUUAUUAAAAAUAUGUGAUAAUAACUUUUUCUAUUAAUAUUAAUUUAUUUAAUAAUAAAAAUAAAGGUUGAUAAUUAAUAAUUAUUUAUAUAGAGAGUGGAAAAUUGUUCUCAUGAUUUUUUUACAUAUUUUAUUAUAUUUUAAAUGAUAAAUUAAAUUAAUUUAUAUAAAAUAUCUUAUUUGAGAUUUAAUUUUUAAAAUUUAUUAAAAAAUGCGAUAACAACUUUUUUUAUUAAUAUAAAUUUAUUUAAUAAUCCAAAUAAAAGUUGAAAAUUAAUAAUUAUUUAUAGAAAAUUGUUCUCAUGUUUUUUUUAUUUUUUAUUUUUUAUUUUUUUAUCUCCCCUAAAUCUAAAAAUAAAAAAAAAUAAAAAAGGCACCCACUUCUCUCUCGGGCAUCAAGAACCCUUUUCUGAAGGUGUCUUCUAGUGAGAGAAUCCCUAAAAAGCCCUAUUUUCCUCUGCUACUCUCAAAUCUCAAUCCUCGCAGGUACUAAUCUAAUCAUGUUAUUAUUAUUUUUUUUUUUGCAACCCCCGUUUGAUUCCCAAGAAAAUCCAUCCCCAUUCGAUUUCCGGGAAAAUUCAUCCUCGUUUGAUUUCCGAGAAAAUCCAUUCAAAACUCCCAAAGAAAACCAAAAAAAUUGCUUUUCUUUUGCUCCCUGUGUUUUCUGGAUCUGUUUUAGGGGUCUCUUUGCUGUUGUGCCAUUGGAUUUAAAUUUCACGAACCCUAAAUCCACGAUUUUUGAGCCAGGCUGAAAAACACAACUGCGCGGGCUGGACUGGUAGGAAAUAUCGCGAUUUUUCUCCGAUUUUUCGGUGCUUCACCGAUAUUUCGCCGAUAUAUCGGCGAUUUUGUCGAUUUUUGGCCGAUUUUUCCGUCGAUCGAUAAUCGGUGCCGUUUAUCGUUUCCAUGCCGCCCGAUAACCGAUAUUUCGACGAAAUAUCGGCGACAUUUUCCGAUUUUUCAAUCCAUGAUUGUCUUAUGUUCUUUGAUCUUUUUCUAAUCUCAGUGUAAAAGGAUUUCAGUAUAGAGAAGUUAAAAAAAUCUAAUUUAUAUUUAAGGUUUAUAAUACAAAAAGACCUUUCUAACCUUAUUAAAAAAAAUUAUUUUACUCUAAUUUAUGGUUUUACCCCUAACAACAAAAUGGGGGUUGUCACAUAAGGAGCCAAAUAAUUAAAUAAUUUUUAAAAAAUAAUUUAGAACUUAAAAAAAGUGUUUGGUCCGAUAGGACUGAACUACCUUAUAAUCCGCUGUUAGCGUUUAGCUUGGCACUUAGAAAGAAGAGUCUCUAUCACCUAAUUUAUAGGAAUAAGAGAAUUUUUUUAGUGGGCAACUCUUGUUUAGUGAUUACGCAUAGCCCUUUGUCUUUCAAAAUCUGUGAGUUGUGCCAAUAUAGACCUUAUCCCACGAAAGGUGAACCCGGAUGUACAGAAACUUUCUUGUUCACACUUAUCGGCUUUCAAAAGGGGAACGGAGAGACUUGACUGAUAACAAAAGAAAAGAAGAGAAAGGGACGGGACUUUUACGAGCUCUCCAAAACAGGCUAAGAGUCUAGCUUGUCUUUGCCCCUGCCCUACCUUAGCUUUCCUCUUUAGACUUCUUUUAAGAUUCUGGUCUACCUGCCCGCUUUUCGCCUUGGGAAAGACCUAGCGAUUGCCGGGGCAUAUGAAGAAUACUUCGAAACUGCUGGAUGCAGAAGACAGAUUUUAUGUUGGAAAUGCCACUCCUUCUACUGCUAUUCCCACUUCUGGAAGGAAGUGUUUUUCUAUUUUCUUUAGUAAUAUAUAUGUCACACCCUAAGACCCACUCUAAGGGCGUGACGGUCAUUUUACACCUCAAACCCGAAGGCUUAAAGUAUAACCUGACCCAAACAAUCAUAUUGUAAUUGGAAGUAACCAAUUACCAAAAACCUGUUCAGAGUAGCAGAACAAAAUUCUAAAAUCUCCAAACUUAACUUUAGAACUAAGCAUCCAUUAUCCAAAUAGAUUGCAACUCAACAAUUCAAGUACUAACGAAUUUUUAUAAUCUCCAAAUCUCAACUUCAAUCUAUCAUAAAAAAAAAAAAAUUUAAAAGCUCAAUAUCUAAAUAGCUUCCAAAAACUAAAUAAACCAAAUGAACAUAAACUUAUAAGCUAACAAUAUUCAAAAAUAACAUCCUAAGAAAAAUCCUAAUGAUGACCAAUUUUCCCGCCUAGUCAUCACUCCUCGCCCGAACUAAAGGUACUUGAAAAAUUUUCAACAAUUGGGAAUAAGCUCACAACCCAAUAAGGAAUAUUAAUGCAGUUCAUGGAUCAAAUAUUUUCAUUUCAAAUAGAAGAUAUCAUUAUUAUUUUUUUCUCAUCAAAUAUCAGAGUUUCAAAAAUACCAAUAUAUUCAAAUUUCAACCAACCAUUUUCAUAUCAAAUUCAAACACUUUCACAUAAAAUUCAAUCAAAUCUAUUCAAUUUUCAUUACUCUGGUUAUCAAAUAUCAAAUGCCCAUUUAGGUGUGACUUUUCAAAUGGGUGGCUUACUCCUUAUCCCCAUCUUCACCCAGGCUAACGGGGCCCUCCUUAUUCAGGGGGGAGAGUGGAGCCUCGAGAAGCACUGUUGAGAGGAAGAUCCUUGGCCCCUCUUCAUUCUCUACAGGGUUCCAAACCUUUCUUCAACAUAGGUGACAACGAGUGGGGCAGAGAUGGAAGAGAUCGAACACGGGAAUAAGAAGCAAGCUCGCCUUCCUUUUUUAUCAUUUUGAUAGACGGGAAUGGAGAAAGUAGACAAAACAGACCCGCAUUUCCCAAUCGAGGGUUCCUUUUUCGUCUCGCAUUUCUGGAAAAGAAGAAUAUUGAAAACUCUCCUAACCCAACCCCUUCCUUCGUAGAGCCGUGUAUUGUAAGUGAUCUGAACCUGCCCGGAGUGAGCCCCCCAUAGAGGCAAGUGAAGUUGGUGAGCCGUAUGAUGGGCAACUAUCUCCUGCAGUUCGGAGAGGACUCAACUGUUAGUUAGUAACUCCUUGGAUUCGGGGUGGACCCUUUCACUCUAUUUUAUUAUAUACGGUUCGCAAAAAGAAUGUUUUUUGAUACACCUAAGGACAUGGAUUCUAUAUGAACCAAUGGAUCGUGACAAGUCGUUACUACUAGCAAUGACUUCCUCUUUCAUUACUUCAUCCUUUCUAUAUCCCUCUCCCUUGUUCUUAGUUACUCAUCAAAUGGCACUCAGUUCAUAUCUUUAAGUUCGAUCAUUGACAAGGUUCAAAGAAAGGGUGGGCCAUUGAUAAAGAAUCGAUUCCAAACCACAAUGCUAGCAGAUGGCGGAGACUCAAUUAAUUUCAAAUUUUCAACCAAAAUAAUUAAAAAUAUCCCAAAUGUAUGUGUAUUAAAAGAAACUAAAUUAUUCAUUUAACUAGAAAGAGUAAAUUCAUAAUUUAUUUAAAAAAUAAUAUUAACUAUUAACAUUUUCUAAAAUAUUAUUAUUCAUUUAAAAUAUAUAUAUAUAUAUAUAUAAUUUUUAUUUUUAUUAUAAUGUUAGUUUCAUAUUUUAUGAAUAUUAUAUGUGUAUUAUUUAUUUAUUUCGUCUUUAGAAUUUACAUAAUAUUGAUAUUCAUUUUAAAAUAAAUUAAGGUUUAUGCAUGUGGCUAUUUUUAAAAUACUAUAAUUUAUUCUUAGAAAGUUUAAUAUAUUAUUAGUUAUUUUUUAUAGAAAAUUUGCUAUUAAUAUGUAAGAAAAUCUUUUAAAAAAUGUUUAAUAAAUAAAUAAAUAACCAUUUAGCAAGAGGAGUUUGUAUAGUGGGUGAGAAAAAUGAAAUAAAAGCCACGGCGCUAGGAGAUCUCUUUCGUGGCAAUGAAUCUAUUAUAUAAAUGGAAAAUGUGAAUGAACUAUUUGCCAUGUUAAUUUUUUUGAAAUAGUGUAAGGAAACAUAUUUUGGUUGUUAGAUGUUUUCCAUAAGAAAAGUAUGUUUGGAAACUUAAAUGAGUUCAAUAUUUUUUUUUAAAUAAUAAUAAUAAUAUUUUUUAUUUACAACACUUUAUCUUCUUCUUUUUUUCAUAUUUACAUAAUUAUUUUUUAAAAUAAAUAAAAAUAAUUAAUAUAUGUUCUUAAAAAACUCUAUACUUUAAAUAAGUUCUCAAAAAUAAUAUUUUAUAUUAAAAAUUAUCAAAUAUGUUUUCUAACCGACAAGACAAUUCCAAUCUUAUUCAUAAUUUUCCUAAUAAGAAAUGUGGUUCAUGAUUGGUUGGUGGUUAGUCACUAUCCAUUGAAUUCAUAGAAGUAAAUGUUUAUACACCUCAUCUACCAACAAUGGUUCUAUCCUCAUCGAGUCAUGUGCAUACCAUUUAGUUUACAUUUUAAAAUUCUGAAAUAGAAAAAUGAAAUGAAAAUUAAUAAAAAAAAAUAUUUAUUAAUAUAUUUGGAUUAAUUGUUUUAUAGAAUGAGAAUAUGAAUAAAAAUUUUAUUAAUAUAGAAAACAAAUUCUACUUUUAUGAGGAUUUUGAUUCCUUUGUUCUAUGUGAUAGUGAUUUAUCUUACGUUUGGUGGAUUGAAUAAUAUAUAAUAUGUAUAUUUUAAGAUAUCAUAUCCUUUCCUUAUCCAAUUUAUUUAUAAGAUUUGUAUUUAUCAUUCAAAACUUAUCUUUUAAUAAGUCAAUUAAUACAAAGCUAUUAUGUAGUCAUAUAUUCGUCACUUUUUUUUUUAUGUUGAUAGAGAAUUUAACUUUUUGCCAUUGUAUCUUAUUUUUAUAUAAUUAUAUUAUAUUUAUUUUAUUUUUUAUAUUAAGUUUUAAAUGUAACUCAUAAUUGGUUGGAGGGUUAGAGACUUCGUAAUAUUAGAAAAAUAAAUUACAUCCUUAUCCCACAAACAGGGUAACAACAUAUAAAUCUUUUUAUCUAUCACUCAAAAACCACAUUUUAGUGAGGCAAGCUAUACAAAGCCAUUGUAUAGUUAUAUAUUUGUCUCAACUUUUCUUUAAGUUGACAAUGAAUUUAAUUUUUUGCGCUAAUAUCUUAUUUUUAUAUAACUGUACUCCAUUUAUUCUUCUGUAUUAAUUUUUAAAUGUGGCCCAUAAUUGGUUGGUGGUUUAAUUAUUAUCAAUGGUUUAAAUUGAUCCAAUUAUCGACUAAUGACCUUUCUGAUCUAAUUCACACCUUUAAGUCGUUUGAUCAUUGAAUUUAUAUUAUUAAGAAACAAGUUGCAUCUUCAUCCAGCUAACAUACUAAUGAUAUUACAAGCUUUUCAUUGGCAAUUCAAAAGCCAAAUUUUAGUAGGAAAGGCAAUACAAAGCCAUUUUAUUUUCAUAUAUUCAUUUCAAUUUUUAUUUUUUAUGUUGACAAUGAAUUUAAGGGUUUUUUUUUUCUUUUUGCCCUUUUAUCUCUUUAUAUAUAUAUAUAUAUAUUCCAUUUCUUGCUUUCAUAUUAAUUUCCAAAUGUGACCCUUAAUUGGUUGGUGGGUUAGUCAUUGUCUAUUAAGUUUAGUUGCAUCCUUAUCAAGCUAAUGUGUCAAUAACAUGCUAACAACAUUUAAAAUUUUUCACUAAGACAAUCAAUACAAAGUCAUCAUGUGUCAGGACCCCAAAAUUUGUCCCAAUUUUAUUUUUACAUUAAUUUCGAGCUCAAUUUUAUGCUUAGGUUUCAAAUCCCAAUUACAUGUUUUUUUAACACACUCAUCAUUUAAUAGUUUUUAUUAUUUUAUAUAUUAUAUUAUUAUUAUUACUUUUUAUUAUUAUUAUAUUAUAUUAUAUUAUAUUUUUAUUUUUUUAUUUUUAUUUUUAUUUUUAUUUUCUCUCUCCUCUCUCCUCCCUUCCUACUCCCCAACCACUUCUCUCUCCUCCCAUACUCUCACCACCGCCACCAUCCCAUUUACCAUAAUUUUUUUUCAUUUUGCCCCCAUUUUUUCUCCCCAUUUUCGCCCCCACUUUUCUCUUCUUCACACAUGCUGGCCCCCACCACUCCUCUCUCUCCCCCACUUUUUCCCCCCCAAAUUUUCUCCCUUCUUCCGACGUACGGCCCUUGGAUUUUUUUUCUCCCUUCCCCCUCAUUUCUUUCCUUUGGUCCUCCAUUUUCAUGCUUUCCCCCACAAUUCUCGAGGUCAAGCCCCCCAUUCCGCCCCCAUUUUUUUUCCUCCAUUCUCUCCAUCUUCUUCCUCCUCUCCUCACUCCCCCGGCCGGCUCUCUCCCCAUUCUUCUUUUUCCACCUUUUUCUUCUCUCUCCCACACGGCAGUAGCUCCCCCUGAUUCUUUUUUUUUUUUUUUCAUUUUUGUUUUUAAUUUUUUUUUAUUGCUUCCCUUCUCAAAAGACCCACACAGCCGGCCUCCCCAUCCUCUCUUUUCCAUUUUUUUUUCUCUUUUUAUUUUUCCAUCUUCUCAUUUCUCUCAUCCCCUCACUCCCCCAUCACACACGUUUUUUUAUUAUUAUUAUUACUAUUAUUAUUAUUAUUAUUACCUUUUUUAAAUUUUUUCUUAUUUUAAUUUUAAUAGUAAUUGUUAUUAAAAUUGGGUUUGUAUAUUUAUAUUUGUUUAUGGGUCUUAUGUUUGAGUUUUGUUAAUUAAUAUAAAAUUUGAGUUAAUUUAUUAUUGAUUGAUUAAUUUAAAAUUUGUUAAUUUGGUUUUGUGAAUAUAUUACAUUUAGUGAUCAAUGUAGGAUAUUUGGAUUAUAUCAAUUACAUAUUAUUUAUUGGGAUUUGGGCCUAUUGUUAAUUUGUUAUUUGUUUAGGCUUAUUGAAUUAGGCUUGAAAUAUUAUUUCUCUUGACUAAGCAUAUUUUUUAUAUGGGCUUAUUAAUUAAUGUGAAUUUUGGGGCACAGAAUGUGGGUGAGAUUUAUUGGAUUAUUUGAAUAUUUGAUAUGAGUUUGGCAAAUUUGAAUUAUUUAAUUUGGAUGUGGGACAAUUGUGGUGUAUAUUAAAUUAGGCUUAGAUUAUGGAAUAUUAAAUUUAGACCUAAUAGAAUUUAUUUUAAUUUAUCCAAUUUUAGGUUUGGUUGAUUGUAUUUGUAUUUUUUGUUAUUAAUUUAGAUGUUUUGGGUUAAGACCUAUAGUAAUUUGGGCUCAUUUUAAUUGGCAAAAUUUAUGAUACUAAUUUGAAAUUGGAAUUUAGGAUUGAAUAUCUGCUUGAGAUUUUGCAAAUCUUUGGGUAUUUACAUUUGUGCUAUCUUUGUUUUUGCAUGGAUCCAUUAUGCAAUUUUGUUACGUGGAGUUUGUGGCAAGUUUAUUUUGACACAUAUUUUAUUUCCCACUUUUAUUUGGUUUUAUUUUUAUUAAUUCUUGUAAAUAUUUAUUUGUAUAUAUUUAUUGAAUGUGUACAGAAUUGAACAUCGAACAAAUUAGAAAUUUUGUUUAAAUGAGAGGAAGAAUUCAGUAAAUGUAUUUUGAUAAAACAAUAAUUUUAAAAUAUUAUUUUUAAUAAAAGAAAGUUUUUAUUAUUAUUAUUUAUAAAAAUCCAAAAGAAUUGUUUUUAAUAGAAUUUGAAAAAUUGUUUUUAAUAACAUUGUCCAAAAAUUUCUUUGCUUAAUAAAAAUUGUCCAAAAAUUGUUUUGUAAAUAAAGUUGUGCCAAAAAUUAAUUUUUAAUAAAAUUGUCCAAAAAUAUUCUUUUAAAUGAAUUCUUUUUCUUUAAUUAAAAUGGGAUUAAAAGUGUUUUUUUUUUAGAAAUAGAGGAUUUAAUUUUAUUUUUUUAAAAUUUAAUUAAAAUUUCUUUUGCAAAUAAAGUUAUGUUCGCUUUUUUUAAAUGAAAAUAAAUCAAAAUAUUUUUGUAAAUAAAAUUGUAAAAACUCAUUAUUUUCUAGUUAAAAACAAGUAAAAAUAAUCUUUAUACCCAAAUUGGACUUUUGUAAUAAAUUCUUCUCAUACAAUAAGUGUAAAUAACUUUUCUUAAAAAUUAAAUACAAAUGAAAUUGAAUCAAAUCACUUGAAGAAAAUGUUUUGUAAAUACAUAAAUUGAAAUCAUCAAUUCAAGAUCAUUUUUUUUUAUAAAAUCCUUUGAAAUUUCUUGGAAAUUAUUAUUAUUUUUUUUAUUUUUUAUUAUUUAGUUCAAUUAAUCAAUUUUUGCAUAAUUCUUUUAUUAUUUAUUUUGUAUAUUUUUGUAAUAAGAUUUCAUCAUUAUUUUUGUAUAUAUUGAUUUUCACCAUGACUUGUAUAUACUUAUUUGUAUGAUUAUUUUUUGGUAUCCAUAAUUAAUUAAUUAAUUAAUUGUCAUAAUUCCUUCAAUUCGUUUAGUAGAGGCCGUAUGUAUACGGGCUUAGAGGAGUGUUACAGCUCAUCACCGUACCUUCCCAAUAAGUAACCUGACCUCCGAACCCAAUUUUGAUUUUCCACAGACCUGUUUUUUUUUUUCCUUCAAAAGUCACACUUAGGGUCUUUUUUUCUUAUUUUAUUUUUCCCUUUAAAAAAAAUAAAAUAAGUGGCAACUUCAAGCCUUUUUCUAAAAAUCAAUUUUUCAUUAAACAAAUAAUAAAAAAACGAGUCACGCCGUCGAGUGGGAACGCACAUAAAAAUGCGGGGUCCACACACAUUUGUCUCAAUAUUUUUCCUUUUUUUUUUUUUUUUGCACUUAUAUCUUACUUUUAUAUUAUUAUAUUUCGUUUCUUUCUUUUGUAUUAAUUCUCAAAUGUGAUCCAUAAUUGGUUGGUGGGUUAGUUAUUGUUCAUUGAAUUUAUAUCACUCAAAGAGCUAAGUUGCAUCCUCAUCUAACAUGCUAACGACAUUUAAAACUUUUUAUUUGUUACUUAAAAGUCACUUUUCUUUAAGACAACCAAUACGAAGCUAUCGUGUGGUCAUGUAUUCAUUUAAAAAAAAUAUAUUUUAUUUUUCAUUUUUGAUGUUGACAAUGAAUUUAAUUUUUCACACUUAUAUUUUAUUUUUAUAUAAUAAUAUUCCAUUUCCUUCUUAUAUAUUCAUUUUCAAUGGUGACCCAUAAUUGGUCGGUAGAUUAGUCAUUAUUCAUUUAAUUCAUAUCACUAAAAAAUAACUUAAAUCAUCAUCUAGUUGAUAUGUUGAACCAUAUUUAUUAUUUACAUUUCUUAACCAACUUAAUCUUUUGAUAAUAACGACAAUUCAAAUUCAUGAGAUAGUAUGUUUUUAUAAUUUUUUUAUUAGUAACGGAAAAUUCUCAUCGAUAGACUUUUGUCAACACAUUUUUCCCUAACUAUCAUGUAUUGAGAUUAUCCGUUGAUAAAUAUUUAUUCAGAUAAUGUAUAUUAAUGAAGAAAAGUAAAAUUUUUUGUAAUAUGUUAACAAUGAGUUUAAUUUUUUGCACUAAUUAAUAUUUUAUUUUUAUAUAAUUAUAUUUCAUUUCUUUUUUAUAUUAAUUUUCAAAUGUGGAUAAUUUGUAGGUGGAUUAGUCAUUGUUCAUUAAAUUACAUCGGUUCCAACAUGGUAGAAGCCAACUAUAACAAAAGUUGUAUUAUCAAAUGAAGUUCAUUUAAACCAGAUUUUUCUCAAUUCAAUUAAUCAUUAAGCCAGUCUAUUUUUGGGGUUUUGUUUUGUGUUGCACCAUAAUGCAAUUAAGUUGUUUGAUGAGAAGUCUAGCCAAAUUUGAUAUCGGCUGACCCAUGCAAGUUGUUUGAUGAAAACACAUCUAUUUGUACCAUGGAAAAAAAAUACAUGGCAUUAUUAAAUUUCAGACUAUAAUGUAAUGCCAUGAUCAAAAGGGUUGAAAAUAUGAGAAUAAUUAAACUCAGUAAAUUAAAAUGAUAGCAAAAUUUUAACCACAUUGUUGUGGUCUUCUUGAGCAGUAAAGCAAUUAUAGUAAGCGUCUAAUUAAUCAAGUAAAAUAAUUAUUAUUAAUUAUAAUAAUUUAUUUUUAUUGUAUAGAUAUUAUUAAUGCGCAGCUUUUUGUCUUAUUGACGAGGCAGGUAAUGUUUGCUCACCCAUUUUCCUUGCUCUCCUGUGGAAAUUGUUCCUACAUGCAUUUCAGCCCUUGCAGUGCCUGCGUCCACACUUUUAAUGCUACGUCCGUAUUUCCAUUUAUCAGCUUAGGUUAGAUAAAAAAUGCAAAAGGUAAAAUCAGAUAUAAUAGAAAUUAGGCUCUGUAUGUCAUAUAUUUGUGCUGCGAGUAUAGGAGAUUGGGAAUUUGGAAUUGGAUUGAAGUAAAAAAGUCAAAAUGAAAUUACAAUAAGAGUACGGUAAAGAGAUAACGUUGGGACACCAGUACGGAUGUACACUUCAAGGAAGUAGGCCAUGCCAUGUCAUGCCACCUGGAACAAAAUAAGGGGUUCUACAAAUUCUCUUAUCGGAAUCAUUUGAGAUAUAGAAUGGAUGCAUAGAAGGGAAGGAGACUCCUCCUCCUCCUCUAAAACUAAUUUUUGUGUGUAGGUGAGAAGUUGGGAUUCCCCGAUCAAUUAAACAUGGCUGAGGAGAGGGAUCCAGUAGAGUUGGGCAUGGCACUCGGCGCAGAUUCGAACAUGAAGAAGACGGCGUAACAGCUAAGAAGAGGGCAAAACGGUGGGCAAUCACCGCAGAAGCGAGCAUGGAAAGAGAGAAGGGGACGCUUGAUCAAGAUGAAGAUGAUUUGUGUGUAGGUGAGAGGUUGGGAUUCUCCGAUCAAUCAAACAGGUCUAAGGAGAGGGAUCUAGUAGAUCAGUUGGGCAUGGCACUCGGCGCAGAUUUAAACAUGAAAGAAGACAAGGAAACAAGUAAGAAGUGGAGGGCAGAUUCGACACUGAUCAGCUCAGAUUCGACAAUGGAAGAAAACCCUGUACCGCCUGAGGUGUGGGUGCCAGAAACCUCGCCAAUCUUCGCAGAUACUAAGAUGGAAAUAGACAUCAGCUCAUAUGUGACAAUGGAAGAAUACCGAGUACCGCCGUGGGUGCCAGAAGCCAGGGUAGUAGGCAUGCCAAUCUCCGCAGAUGCGAACAUGGAAAUAGACAGGGAAACGCAUCUUGUAAGAAAUAUAAGUGCUCGUUCCACACAGGGACUCCACGCCCCCGCUGAUGAAGAUGAAGAUGCGGAGCAUAAGAAAUUAAUGGACCGCCGCAUGCACGCGCAAGCGACCCAAGGAAAUGUUGAUGGCUUUAUUAAAAUUUUAGGCUCGAUAUCCUCCGAACAGGACCUUCAACACUCAGAAAUUCUCUGCCAAGUUAGUCCCCGGAAAAACACAUGCCUCCACAUAGCAGCAAGCUUUGGACACCAUGAUCUUGCCAAGUACAUAGUGAGAGAGUGUCCAGAUCUUAUAAAAAAUAAAAACUCCAAAGGCGACACGGCACUUCAUAUUGCUGCUAGAAAAAGGAAUUUAUCUUUCGUUAAGAUUGUCAUGGAUUCAUUCCCUUCUGGAAGUGGCGCAUCCCAAGAUGUAGAGAAGGCUGAGCCUUCAUUGCUGGGAAUUGUCAACAAAGAAGGAAAUACAGUGUUGCAUGAGGCACUGAUAAACCGUUGCAAACAAGAAGAGGUGGUGGAGAUCCUUAUUAAGGCAGAUCCCCAAGUGGCUUAUUAUCCGAAUAAGGAGGGAAAGUCACCAUUGUAUCUAGCUGCAGAAUCACACUACUUCCAUGUCGUAGAGGCUAUAGGAAACUCUGAAGUUGAGGAGCGCAUGAAGAACAGAGACCGCAAAGCAGUCCAUGGUGCCAUUAUGGGAAAGAAUAAGGGUACUUCCCGCCUCCUUCUCUCUCUCUAUUAAAUUUUCUUCUUCCUCUUCAAACUUAAAAAGCAUUGUUUGCAAUGAUGUUGGGGCUUUAAAUAAUCUGUUGCUUCUAACCAUAGAAGAAGUCUACUGGGCUUUUCUCAGCUUUUGCUUCAAUAUUCCUUGUUCCUAAAAAUUCAAAUUUUUUUAUUAAUUUAUGGGAGAUCCAUAAUAUUUAUAAAUCUUCUUUCCCAACCCAAACCCCGUCGUUGUAAAUAUUCUUCAUCUUUGUUUUCAAAAUCCUAAUCCUAUUUUGUCAUCUUCUUAUUCUUCUUCAAAACUCUAGUCCUAAUUCAUUCUUUAUUUUCUUUUCUAAAUUAACAAAAAUUUAAAAUUAACUAUAAAAAAAAAUUGCAGUUACAUAUGGCCUCGUUGUGUGCAUAUGGGAUGGUUUAAAUAGAACAAUUGUCUGUAUAAUUUGGGGUUGACUUCAAGUGAUCAUUUAAGAUUUGAUUUCAAGCUUAAGGUUAGAGUUAGGAUUUUUCUUCUCCCUUCUUUUUCUUUAUGUUUUAUGUUUCUUAUAGAUUCGAUGAAGUAGAAUGUAUCCUACACAUUUGAAAGAAACAAAUUAUAAAUGAUGUGAUGAUUUUCUAUUAUUCCCCAUUUAACUAUUACAAUAUUAUUAAGAAUAGGGAUAGUAAUGAGACAAGUUUUUAUAGAAAUCACAUCAUUGAGUUUGAAAUUUAAAUAAAUGGGGUUUGAAAUGAGUUUGAGAUUUUUUCAAAAAAUUAAACGAAACCAAAUGAAAUAGGACAUGUAUGAAGCCGUUUAAUUUUUUUUUAUUAGGACGGGACUGAGAAAUAUUUUGAAUAAAUGAGAUAGGGGUUGGGAUAGAGGUGACCGUCCUUAGCCCACCCCAUUUCAAUUCCUAAUUAAGUGGAUGAUAAGGCAAAUAACAAAAUUUAAAGAAUUUUUAAAAUCCAAAGAGGGAACUUAUAAUUAAAGGAAGCUUUUAAAAGGAUGGGCACUCCAUGUGGUACAACCUGGCACCAAAUUGAUACUGUUUUGUUGACUUACAGAUAAUAAAAUAAUCAAUUGAAAAAAAAAACUCUCUUUUCUAUUUUUAUAUUAUUUUUUCCUUCCUUAUUUUAAUUAUCAAAUAAUUAAAUCAUUUCCAUAAAAAAGAAAAAGAAAAGAAAAAAGCAAUAGUAGCAAUUACUAGUUUACGAUGAAUUUAUCUUAAUUUUAUUUUUUAUAUGUUCAUAUUUUUUAUGUAAUUUUAAUUAUUAAUGACUUGCACUCAUAUAAUAAUAUAUUUAUUAGAAAAAGGUUGUUUGAAACAUUCAAAUAAAAUUUUUCUUUUAUAUAUGAUGAAAAAAUGUCAGAGAUGUUGGAAAAAAUACUGGCCAUGAAGCUCGUCCAGCAAAAAGACAAAGAUGGAAGGACUCCACUUCAUUGUGCAGCAUCCAUUGGAUAUCUCGAAGGAGUUCAAAUACUGUUAGACCAAUCUAACUUGGAUCCAUAUCAAACGGCCUCUGAUGGCUUCUGUCCCAUCCAUGUUGCAUCAAUGAGAGGCAAUGUGGACAUUGUCAAAAAGUUGCUCCAGGUCUCCUCUGACUCAAUAGAGUUACUAAGCAAACGCGGUGAGAACAUUCUUCAUGUGGCAGCCAAGUAUGGUAAAGACAAUGUAGUCAAUUUUGUGCUCAAAGAAGAAAGGCUUGAGAACUUUAUAAAUGAGAAGGACAAUGGUGGAAACACGCCACUGCAUUUGGCAACCAUGCAUAGACAUCCUAAGGUCGUAAGCUCUUUAACAUGGGAUAAAAGAGUUGAUGUGAAUCUUGUGAAUGAUAGAGGCCAGACUGCUUUGGACGCUGUAUUAUCAGUGAAGCAUCCAACUACAUUUGACCAGGUAUAUCUAUAUGAUGCAUGAUUUGCAUCUUGUUUUCUAAAUGAUGGGUACUACUUGUAGUUUCACCCUUCAACUGCAUGCCAUGAGUAGGAAAUUAGAAUGCCUCAUCCAUGCAUUGUUACAGUGCUAUGGCAUUUUCCUUCUUAGAUGCAUGCAUGCAAUUAAUUUAUUAAAAGGAUCGAUCAGGACAACAUGGUUUGUUUUCCUUUCCUAGAAGGACCGGCUAAUAUUAAUAAGAACUAGAUCAACACUUCAACUCAAGCCACUGACCCUGAUUGAAGGUCAAUUUGAGCCCAAGAUAUCCUAAAAGUCAAGAAAAUUAUGGAGCCUAACUCAAUCACCAUCACCCUCGCCCAGAUUAGAGCGACUCAACCAAGGUUAGGCUAGGUUUCUCCAGCAAGCGCAUAUACUCUUGAUGUCGGCAAAGACUUAUGGGAAUAAUUUUUUGCAUCAUACUAAAAAGUUUUCAGUGUAGAGAACUGCUAUAUCAUGUGCGCUUGUGGUUGCUCUCUUGCUGCUUCACAUUGCUUAAUUUCAUACUUCUAGUGGGUGUUCAUUGAAUUUACAGGGAAAAGAGAAUAGCUUCCCAACAAAAUAUUACGAAACCCAACUCAUGGAAUUAUAGUCUACUUUUAGUUAUUAGUACGACACAUACAUUUUAUGUUCUCUCUUUCUCACGAUUACAUUAACAGCAACAUUUUUUUCUCUACUACGCAGGCACUAAUUUGGACAGCACUCAAAUCUGCUGGUGCACGACCAGCGGGAAAUUCAAAGUUCCCACCCAAUAGACGUUGUAAACAGUACUCUGAAUCACCUAAAAUGGACAAGUACAAGGACAGGGUAAACACUCUUUUGUUGGUUUCGACCCUUGUUGCCACAGUGACAUUUGCUGCUGGUUUUACCAUGCCAGGUGGCUACAACAGCUCCGACCCAAAUGUCGGCAUGGCUGCCUUGCUGAUGAGAAAUAUGUUCCAUAUGUUCGUCAUCUGCAAUACCACUGCUAUGUAUACCUCCAUCCUCGCGGCAAUCAUCCUCAUCUGGGCACAGUUAGGUGAUCUCAAUUUGAUGGAUACUGCCCUCAGAUUUGCAUUGCCAUUCUUGGGGUUGGCCCUUACUGCGAUGUCCUUAGGCUUCAUGGCAGGUGUUUACCUGGUGGUCAGUAAUCUUCAUUGGCUUGCAAUUGUUGUCGUCAUUAUUGGAAUCAUCUGCCUUGUCGGUCUCCUAGUACCCUUUUUUUUACUUUUCCUCCCAAGUAAGUCUACUAAUCGUAUCCUUAGGCACAUCUCCUAUUAUCCGUUUCUUAUAUUGGUAUGGGCAUCUAAAAGCCCCGAAAUGAAACGGGAAGAUUAGCUCGCCCUGUUGAUGAUGUAUGCUAG